This 60300-nucleotide long non-coding RNA is filed under the name Ananas comosus (pineapple). Its description in RNAcentral is "long non-coding RNA (ACOM_LNC004623)". The record is from RNAcentral. Lineage: Eukaryota; Viridiplantae; Streptophyta; Magnoliopsida; Poales; Bromeliaceae.
AUUAAUUAAAACCUAUUAAUCCUUCCUCUCCUCUUCAUCUUCUUCGUUGGGGGGCCUUUAUUAGAAUUAGAGUCAGAGACUCAGAGUAGGGUUAAGGUUAGGGUCUCAACGUUCGCCUCUCUCUCUCUCUCUCAUAUGCUUCUCUCGCACAACGGCGCGCGCGCGCACAGCACACACACACUUUCCUCUCUCUUUGUCGUCGUCGUCGUCGUCGUCGUCGUCUAGCAUCACAAAUCAUCAUUGGAGAAUAGAUAGUGUCGGUGCGCGAAUUAAUGGAGGCGGCGCAUUCGUGUGGAAGGGGAAGGUGGUGGCGAAUAGAGUGCGUGGGGGAGGGUCGAAGCGGAGGAUGGGGCCGGGGGGGAGGAAUGCUGCGGUCACGGGGAUCGCUGUGAGGAGAUCAAGAUCGGGCUGCGCGCGGCGUGCGGGCUGCCGUUCAAGGGCGGGACGCCGGGUGCAGAAGCUGCUGUCACGGCGCCUCAAGCGCGGCCGCACACCUCCAUGCGACUGCGCGUCCGCCCGCGGCCUUCGAGCCGCAUCCGUCUGCGCCGAGCUGCAGGCCUGCAUCGUCCCCCACGACCCCGCCGCCAAGCGCCGCUACGUCCUCCGCUCCAUCCACGACCCCAACUACGCCGUCCGCUUCGCCGACCGCUCCGAGACCGACUGCAUCGCCUUGCAGGGUAUAUAUCAUCUAAAGAUUUUCGAUAUUUACACGAAGAAAUAUGCUAUUUAUGAGAAUAAUAGUAAUUUUCUAUAGCAUCAAAUAUUUAAUGGUAUCGAUAGUAUUAUAAUCAUAUUCUCUCUCUCCAUCUCUCUCUCUAUAUAUAUACUAUUGUGGUAUUUUUACAUCAAUAAUAAUUUUCUCCAAAAUGUUAUUAUGAAUUUGAAAUUACUUAUCAAUAGAAGACAAGUGGAGUCAGAUAAAAUAAGAUGCGAUCCAAGUGGCCGGGUGUACGUCACUAAUUCAUUUUUAUACGUACUAGCUCUUCAUUCUAUAGACAAUGAGUAAUGAAUCACCUUGUUAAUUAGUAAGAUACAUUCUUAGAUAAUGGACCUUAAUGUUUAUUUUAGAUUUAGAUGAUAGAAAUGCAUUAAUUGCUAUAUCCUAUAAGUUUCUUACCCAAUGGUGUGAAUACCUGUGUGAACAAUUUGGUACAUCCUAGCCUCCUUUUCUGAUAUUGGCUGGCCGACAAUGAAUAGCUCAGAUUCCAUCACUCCUUUUCUGAUAGCUUUUUUUUGUCGAAAUGUAGUGCAAAAUUGGCUUUAUGUGAUUGACAAAACAAACAAAAUAUGUUGUAGCUUGGUGACAAUUAAUGCAUCAAGAUUUAAAGUGCAGUGGUACGGGGACAUACUACUGUUUGCCUUAUACGAUACGGCAUCGGCAGGCUUUCGUGUCAACACAUGAUACGCUUGCGUGCUGAUAAAUACACAUGAUUUUUUACUAGCACGCUUUGUCACAGAUUUAUUUCAAUUUUUUUUUUUUUGUUUCAAUAAGUUCUUAUAAUAUUAUUUUAAAAAAUUUAAUCAAAUAAUUAUAAAUAUUUGUUAUAUAUAGUUUAUUAUAUUUAUCAAUUAAUAUUCUUGUAGACUUUUUUGUAUGAAAAGUAUAAAUAUACCUAAUGCAAAAUAAAAAUUUUUAUAUGUUAGAAUUUUUAAAAUGUAAAAAUAUUUUCCUUUCUUCCUUUUGAUUAUAUUAUAGUCUUUCUUUUAUAAAAUAAAAAAAAUAUAUUUAAAAAAAUAUUUAUUAAUUUUUUAAAAAUUAUUAGAUUUAUCAAAAAAAAUAAGCAAUAAAUUAUAUAAUAGAUAAAUUAAAUAAAUUUAAAUAUCAAUUAAUUUAAUUUAGUUUUUAAUUUUAUCAGUAUUUUUAAUUUUUUUAGCGCAAAAAUAAAAUUUAAUAUUUAAUGUGCCGCAAAAUUUAUUUAUUGACUUUAAUUUUGUUCUCUUAAUUCGUCAAAAGUUAAGCGGUGUAAUAAAUUUUGAAAAAAUAGUUUGUGAAGAAAAAAUAAAUGUCUGUGGUAUAAGGGAAGGGCUUGAGUCAUAGGUUUCUUAUGGUAUGGAUCAGAUAUGUAAAUUGAAAAUUUGAUCGUGUAUUGAUAAACAAAAAUUAAAUUAUAAUUUUUUAUCUAAUANAAAAAAAAAAAAAAAAAAAAAAAAAAGGCAAAAAAGGAAAAAAAAAAAAUGCUAGCACGGUCGUGAGAUUUCUAGGUGGGUGCCACGACACAAUGGGAAGUGGGGACCCACCCGUGUACCAUGCCUCCCAAGAUGGGGGCAUAGUACGUGCCGCCCUCUGCCAUACGGUACGGGACAGCACUUUAAACCUUACAAUACAUAUUAUAUUUAUAAAAUUUUAAAAAUUUAAUGAAUUAAUAUAUUUUAUGGCUAUAAUUAAGUUUAGGGCUAAGAAGAUAUCAGUAUUUAAACCUUGUAAUUUUGACUUAGCAUAUCACAAGUUUAGAAACAUUUUUCUUCGGAAAAUACUGUUUAUAAAUUCAAAGGUAAAGUGUAUAUUUUACAUUGCAAUAAUUCUUUUGAAUUUUUAUUUUUGAAAAAUAAGAUUAUGAUAAGACUAGUGUGAUAAUAUUGAUCUUUAGAUUAAUACAGUAAUAUUUACACACGCUUUUGGAUGCAGUAUUGAUAGAAAUGCUUUUUUAUAUUGAAAUGCUAUUGAUAGAAAUGCUUUUUUAUAUUGAAAUGCUUUUGGAUGCAGUAUUUACACACGCUUUUAGAUUAAUAAGAUUGAAAUGCUUUUUUAUAUUGCUUCUCAGAUAAAUAAUUAUUUUGUCAAACUCUAAAAAGCCUCCAUUGGACAUUUAUUGUCCUUUUCUUUAGAAUUUUAUUAAAAAAAAUUAUUGUGGGUGAUUUUUUUUUCCUUUUUUAUUCCUGUCAUCAUUAGCUAACUUGCAACAUAACUCAACCGUCAAAAAAAAAAGAGGGAAAAAUCAAAUUAUCAUCAAUAAUUUGUUGAGGCCUAAAGUCAUUUUUAUCACUUCUAAAUUAAUUACUGACAGAAGACAAACAAUUUAAUUACCCCAAUAAUUUUCAGUAAGAAGGGAAAGUGCAAUUAUAUAUGUAGCUCUUAUUAUUACAUGACGAGUAGAUCUAAUAACGUGCGAUAUAUAAUACAUCAAUAUGUGCGAUAAUUCUUGGACUGUUGCUUGCUAUAGUGGAUGAACAUGUCUUUUGAGUAGAUCACAAACAAUGAAGUAAAUAAAUAUCCAUUGUCUAUUGCUGUAGUGUGGAUUAGUUAUGCUUCUUAAUUUCAUAUCCUUUUCGGUUUGCCCAGUGCUCCAAGCAUCUAUACACCGGCGAACAGUUUAGUUUAAUUUGCCUUGACCAAUUGCCGCAGCGACUUUGUUUGUUCACUCCGCGGAGCCUCCACUCGGUUGACUUACUGAUCAGUUGACUUCACGAGCCCUCAUGAAACAUAUGUAUUCUUGUUUUAAGUGUGACACCCUCUGACCGACCGUUCCUAGAAUAAGUGGCAAAGAACUUUGUACUUGAUAUCCGAGAUUUCAAGUUCGAAUUCUAAUUAAUUCAUAUUUUCAGCUAAGUUUAUUUUUAAAUAAAUAAAAUAAACGAAUUAGGUAGCGUGUUAUUUAUUUCUAAAAAAAAGAAAAAAAAAAAAGCGUGACACCCUCUGGAACGCAUUUUUAGUCCUUUUAGAUUAUAUUUUUGACAAUAAAAGGUGAAAAUGAUGCUAAGUAAAUACAUUGUACACUGAAACCACAAUUGGAGGAUCACAUCAUCAAGCAUUGUCUUUUCUGUGUGUUUAUUCGUUUACGUGAAGGGUCGAGGAGCUCGCAGGUGGCGUGCGCGCUGAGCCGGGCGCAGCUGCAGGACGGGUACGUGGCGUACCCGUGGGAGAGGAAGAUGAGGGAGGCGCUGCAGACGGCGGCGCGGCCGAGCUCCAGCAGGUUCCUCUCGGCGCUCAUCCUCCCCCGGGCGCUCGACCCCGCCGCCUCGCGCUACAGCUCCCUCGACGACACCCUCGCCCGCGCCGACGCCUGGCUCCGCUCUGCCCAGGCCUCCGGCGUCCCCAUCGUCUUCACCAACGUCCAAACCGAAGCCCUCCUGACCAAGGUAGGUUCCUACGAACUAAUACAUGUGUAUGUCCUAGUUCUAUAAUUCGCAUUAUAUCCACAAAUCGGAUGCUUAUACGUUGACCUUCCGCCCCCCCCUGCAUGCAUGAUCUACUUGUGCAGAUAUCAGGGGAGACGGCCUCCGCGACGGUAAACUCGGGAUCGUUGGCCGACCUCUCCAACCUCGCGAAUGCCAGCCUGUACGGCUUCGAGGACUACCACGGCGUCGACAUCGGAGUCGUGAAGGCCGUUCGGCUCUGGUACGCCCCUGCCGCCGGAGAACUGGCGGUGGAGAUUAGGCUUCGGAGCGGCGACACAAAGCUGGGCUUCGCCAUCGGCCGCACCGAAGAGGUCCGUCCCCCUAGUUCUAUCUAGCUAGUUUGUCUUGGAUUGAAAUCAAACUUUAGAGACUGAUUAAGUUGCUACACUUGUGGCCGACAAUAUAUCAACUUUCAAACACUACCUACCUGCCAUCUACUGAUUGAUAACCCCGUAGUGAUUAGUGAUGCUUAAAUCUUAUCAUCGGGAACGAAGCUCGAACCAUUCUGUUUUUUCUUUUCUGUGUUUUCUUCACAGGGUUUUAUCUACAUAUCUUCUGUGACCGAUGAUGACGGCCAAGACGGCGGCGAGGUCCCCUCAAUGCGAUCGGGGCUCAGAGAUCGCUACAACGAAGCGAGGCGCGCGUCGAAGCUCCUCGUGAUUUCGCGGGUGUCUGGCGAGAAGGUGCUCCCCUGGAUGGUAUCGUCGUCGGGAGCCGUCCGCUGCUUCGACACCAUCUCCCUCAGCCAGAAGCUCUCAUUGCACCGCCACGCCCUGUGCCCCAUCCUCCUCCACCUGCUCGCGUGGGAAAAGCCCGUCGUCAGCAGGGUGGUGGCACGGGCCCUGUCGGUGCAGCCGCCGCCGUCGGAGCUACCACUGAGCUUAGUCCCCACACCUGCUGCUGCCGAGUCUCAGCUAGGGUUGUUAGACACCGCAGCGUGGGAAAAGCCCGUCGUCAGCAGGGUGGUGGCACGUGCCCUGUCGGUGCAGCCGCCGCUGUCAGAGCUGCCACUGAGCUUAGUCCCCACACCUGCUGCUGCCGAGUCUCAGCUAGAGUUGUUAGACACCGCAGGGAACGUGUCCUUCAGAUUUCAUGAUAACUCCCCGCCAAAUAGUAGCUGGGUCUAAAGGAACAGGGACUUUUCUGUAGUUGUACAUUUUCAAUGUACAUGUGUGUUAAAGCGAGCUUCUGUUUUUAAUACCUAGCUUAAUUUAAUUACUCCUUGUUUUUUAUGUUUACAGGACAUACACAUAUAUCAUCACUAAAGUGAAUUAAUUGUAAAUUGAAUGUCUUAUGCAGGUGCUGGAAUGACCUAGUUAGCCGAGUUACAGAACUAGUGAUGAGCUAUUAUUAUAUGUGAAUACCAUAUUAUUCUCUUUACCAAUGCUCUGUUACCGAAAUUAAGCAAAAGUGAAAAAAAGCCCAUGUGCUAUUCCAGGAAACUUCAGAUUUUCUACCUGACGAGUUGAGGGAGAAUGCAGUAUCAGGACAUUACAGAAACUUAUCAACAAAUUUCUUAUCAAAAUUUCGCUAUCAAAUCUUCUAAUGCUUCAUCCCAAGAUUGAACGCCGCCGCGCUGACCAUACCAUGCCGUUCCGACAGAGUAUCUGCACUAUAUGAUCUCAGUACCCAUAACACGGCUCAGACUAACACCCUGACACACAUGAACAAUAUCCAAAUCAAACAAGGAAGCAACUAUGAAAGGAUAACUAAUUAGACAAACAAGCCUGUAAAUUGUACAAGAGCCUCCUCUAGCCGAUGAUAUGUUACAACUUUGGCACACGAAGAGCAACAAGGUAUUCUGUAUCAUUUACCAUAUUGUCCUCACUCUACAAGACUAUAACACUCCAAUUGGUUACAAAUGCUAGUCAGCUGAAGUACCACACUUUCCAGUUUCUGAACAUACGAAAGAACAGCACAAAUGUUAAAUUCUUUUUCCCUCACAACUAUACCCAAUAGAAAAAGAAACAAGGGGGGAAAAAAUUACAGCAUGGGGAUCAAACACAGAUUAGAGGCCGCUAGAUGUGGUGGUGAUGAAGUCAAUGGAUGCGAGUUACUAAGCCAUGGAAUGGUACCUGCAGAGAACCCUGCAUCUAAGCACCCUAUCAUGGACAUAAAAUCCGGGCAUUACCAUGAUCUUUACUUGAUCGGGGGCCCGCGCUCUGUCCCUACUAUCUAAGAGAAUGUUCUCCAUAUAGAUAGGGUCGAAUUGUCGAUCCUCGUCAACCCGCAAUAUCACCAAGGGCGGGUUGAAUGAAAAGGCCAGCAAAUGGAGCAACCAAAUACAUUUAGCCGCUACAAAGAAGCACUGGAGAAGCUGCUCCGGCCAAGGCCGACACCAAUUUAGAGCGGAAACAAUGCAAUUCAUCUUUUGAUCACAGAACCUACUGAAGUCCUCACUGUAAAACUUUGUCCCCUUUUGUAAUACUUCAUUCCAACUCAAAUUCCUAAGUGCGACGAAAGCCGAGAAUUUCUCUUGGCGAUCUUUCUUGGGGUCCAAAAAUUUUGGGGAGCCAUUUGUCUGGAAAGUGCAGUUUUCAAAGUCCUGAUAGAGAGAUUGGUUUAUGAGAGCUUCCAAAUGAUACAAUACGCCCUUCGAGUACUUGUUGCUCGGCGUAAUCUGAUGUGGAUGGAUAAGCAAAUUUAGCUUCUCUAGCAGAUCGCAGUCGGCUUCUUCGAUCUGGUGGAUAAGUGCUUUGCAAAGGUGCUUCACGGAAAGCCUAGCUUCUGAGACUAUCUGCAAGAAGCCCUCGACCAUCACUUCACGGCUCACGGGCAUGGAAUUGUCAAUGCUGCCGCCUAUGGACUUUGUUCUCCUCGAAAUGUAGGGCUUAUCCGGAAGCUGGGUGCUAUUAUUAUUUGCAUGAACUGCUUGUUUCAGAGCCUUCUUUAGUUCUUUACAGUGCGAUUCCAAGCUCACUAGCUUGUCUGUUAAUUCUCCCAGUGAAGAUUUCAUCUCUGUGACCUCUCUAAGAGCAGCAUCCCUAUUCUCAUUGGCCUCAAGCAACUCUUUCUUUAAGGAUUCAAUCGAAAAAACUCCCCAUUCCUUCAAAAGCUGGGACAUGUUCUCGGACUCUGCAGCACUUGGUGAAGUAUUUGGUUUCGGUUUCUUCUUUGAUUUAGGGAACAACCAAGAAAGGAUCGGCCCCUUGUGCUUUGCAUUUGACUGCGUGGAUGGCUGAACAUUGGGGAAAAAUGUCACUUUUGUAUUGUUGUCCUUGAGGUUCUUGUAAUCGCUCUCUGGUCCCCUACUGAUUGUGGCCGGCUUGCACGUAUUGCAUGUCGUGACUGGUUUAAAGUCACCUGAAUUGGUCCUCCUACUAGAAGACCUUACGAUGCUAUUACUAUCAGCCGAAGGAGCAGUUUGCAAGGGGACAGUGUGGUUUAUGCAUGAGGUUCUGUUUGACAAGGGCUCACUUGGAAAACAAAUCUGCGACUCACUAAAAUUACUUGCAUUUUUGAAAUCCGAGGAAACUGAUUCGUCAUCUCCACCUUCUCCUUCCAACCCAAUACCACUCCAAAUUUCCGAUAAGCUGUGGUUCUCUGGACGGAUGUAGUUUAAUGCAGGUAAGGGUUCCUCUUCAUAACUCUGUCGAAUAUACCAACAGAACCAGAAGGAAAAUAAGAGAAAAAAAGGAAUGAAAAUUUGUCACUAUGAACAAUUCAAUGUAGAUUAUUAGUUUAUAUUUCGGCAGAUGCAUCUCUAAUCAACAUGGAUCUGUAACAAGCCCUGUAUCUAUUUUAGGAUUCUGAAACUCUAUUUUACACAUUACUUAAAAAAUAAAAACAGAAAGAAAAACAAAAAAAGCUUGCAUCACAUGAAUCAAGGAGGAGCGGCAUGCUGACCGUUAGAAGCAAAGAAUGCUGAAUGAAGAGUGCAUGUUUACUUCUAAUUUUGGCGGACAAAGCUACAAAACAAGUCGACAGUUCUAAACCAUUCAAUUCGUGUCAAUAUCCCAUCGAUAUCAUUUUUUCUUGAAUCGAGGUACAAAUGUAUAAAAUGUUUCUUCUCAAGAAGUUCCAAGUAAAGCAUGAAAGCAGGAUUAAUUAAAAGUCAUGCAAAACUAAAAGGGUUUUCUACCUUAGCCGAUAAGUGUUCUCCCCUAGAAAAUAUUAACACAGGUAGAAUGAAUCCCAAGAGAAGCAAAAGGUGAGAGGGCUAGUCACGACUAUCGGACCUUACAAUUUUGGUUUUUCUCACUGUUAUUUUACAUAAAUACGAUUGAUGUUGGAUCCGCCGAGUUCAUGAAGAACCUCCACAAAUAAGAUCAGCCCAAAGUAGCAUGUAAACAUGCAGCACCCUGACAAAUUUAGGGCGCCGCGCGGCGCCGACACAUAUAGCAUCAAAUAGCAAACCUAGAACAUUCAACUGCAUAAUGAACGAAGGAGAAAAUGAAAAAAGAAGCUAAAACGCCAAAAAUUCAAUGGAGAGAAAACUUGCCCCAGAAAUGUAAAUCCCAGGUUUAGUUACUCCUAGAAGUAAGGUUUUUUUUUUUUUUUUUCUUUUUUAUUUCUUUUUUAUCAAAAUAAUAAUUACAGAGAAGUCCUAAACUGACAAAUUACAAACAGAGAGAAAAUUCCCAAAAACGAUUGCGUAGUAAUAAGCGGAAGGAAGGUAAAUUGACCUCACAAUUCCACCACAAACCCACCAUAAAUCGCAAAACCCAGCAAUAAAACGGAGAAAUCCCCAACAAGUUGCCACCUUUACCAGAGAAACGCAAUCCCCCGACCCCAAAAGCCAAAACCCAGAAGCGAAUUAUAGAAUGGCGGGGUUAAAAUAAAAUAUAUGUAAAAAAAAGAAAAGAAAAAGUCAAAGAGCUCACCGGGGUGAAGACCGGGUACUCCUCGGCGGAGAACUGGUUGGGAACCCUAGAGAGCGAGGGGGAAGCCCCGUUCGGGAGCCGCAGAAGCGCGGGGCUAGAAGCGCUCCCGUGGAGAAGCGCGGCGUGGAGGGCCCUGAGCUCCACGGCUUUGGCAAUGGCGGCUCGGAUGUCCUGGCGCUGAACCCCAGACGCAGAACCCGUCGAAGAAGCCAUUGCUGCAGAGAGAUGUGGGAAUCCGAUGACGGAGGUUGAGCUCUCGAGAGAGAUUGGUGCUAGUACUAGUGGUGGUGGUAAUGGUAAUGGUAAUGGUCAUAUCCAGAGAGAGAGAGAGAGAGAGAGAGGGAGGGAGGGAGCGUGUGUGUUGGGAUUCUGGAAAUCUAUGAAGCGUUCGGGGGGUAAAAACUAAAAAGGGUGAGUGGAAUGAUUUGUUUAUUUAUUUAUUUAUUCAUUCAGGGAAGGAGAAGCGCACUUGUGUAGCUUUUUAAGUGCUCUGUAAAAGCAUUGAGCAGAGCAUUCGAAACUACAGGUGGGCACACCACUCAUAAUAGUGAACCACCUUUUCCUUUAUGCUCUUGCCCCCCCGCCCCCCUGUACUCAUUUAAGAAUACGAAAUUUGUGACACAAAAUUUGGGUAAAAUUUUAUGCUUGAAUUCGGUUUUUCUUUUUAUUUUUCUGAGAGUACGAGUACGAGAGGGUCCAGUGAUGAGGUUGCAUAUCAAUGGCACAGUAACUUAUUGGGUUCUUCUUGCUGGGAAAAGAGAAGCGUCUUAUCAAUGCAUGACAUGUGAGAAGAGAAAAGGACAAUUGGUAAAGAGCGAAGGGAAUCUUCUUCUUCUUCUUCUUCUUCUUCUUCAAGAUGAGAAGGAACCAACUUUUUCUUUUUCUCUUCUUUAAGCAGCUUUAGUUUAGUCUUCUAAUUUUAUUAGCUAAACUAAGCAUUAGGUGGGGAGUAAUGUUCUAAUAACUUUGUUGACAAAAACAAGCAUUAAAUGUUUGGGACCAAAGGGUAAAGGCAAGAGUAGGUUUGAUCUUUGGUUACAUCACAUUCACAUUAUUGCUGCGAUUAGCACUGGGGGUGGGUAAGUUCACUAUCACAGAAGAGAGCUUUGGCUUGUUUCUCUUUAUUUUGUAGCAACUUGUGUGAUGGAUUUUAGUUUGCAGGGCUUGGAUGUUAUCAUUAUCAAACCAACUAAUGUUGGCAAAAAGUUGUUGGCCUUUGAUUCUUUGUCCAGCUAGGUGUUGUAGCAGGCUCACUUUUGCACCACUGAUUUACUUCAGCUUUCAAUCUUGUGUUAAGAGGGGAUAAAAAAUCACCAUAUGGUGAAGUUAUUUUAUAUAGUUCUCAUGGUAUAAUAGCUGUAAGAGUUUACACAUUUUUCAACAGUAAAAUUUGAUUAAUUAAAAUAAAUAGGAAGAACUUAAUAGUAAAACUUGAAAUAUAUUAUUGAAGAUUAAAAUAGAAAAUAUAUAUAUAUAUAUAGUGAGUGUGGGAGAAACAAUUAAGGCUAGUUGAAGGCAACAAAAUUGGCAAUAAAUUAUGAAACCCUAGGCAUUUUGUCUCCACGCAGAAAAGAAACAAAAACUCCACCUACAAGAGCCAAAAAUCGGAAAGCCACCUGCAACCAACGCAGCUCUUAGUAAAGCUCAAAGCGAGCCCCGAGGAUCCCUGUUUGUUCACAUCUAUUUGUAAUUGCAGUGAAAUUGGACGUAGCCAUAUAUGCACUAUCCUCAAAAACGAAAAGGAGGUUGGUUUAAAAGCAAGAGCAUUUGCUUAAUUACAAAGCAGAACCAGAUUAAUGUGUACAUCGAUCCUAUUGGGGUGUUUGAAUAUUAUUGUAUCCUUACUUUCUUACGAUUAAUUAAUUUAGCUCUUCGUCAGGGCAAAUUGAUUGUUAAUUAUUACAGUUAGAACAUUCUGAUAGCGAGUCCAAGGAGAGCAUCGUUGGAUUGUUCAUGUGCAGAAGAUGUGACAAAUUAACAAUGGAGAAAAUAAUAAAGAUUCGUGAUUACGGGAUCACAAAUAGAUGGCAAUGAAGCGGGUUAGAGGAGUGGGUCCAGGUUCAUCUCUAUACAUGCCCUAUUUACAAUUCCCCAUCCUAGUCCAUCUACUCUCCAUUUUGUAUUCACCCUUAUUAUUUCGCUCAAUAAUAAAUUGAAAAUGGCACCUUAUGUCACGGACUAACUUGAAAACACAUACAUAUGACGAAAUUAAUGCAAAACUAUGAGUGCUAGGUUCUAUGUUUUUUUUAAAAAAAAACUACGGAAUAAUUAAGUACAAUAUAUAAACUAUAUAGAAGCAAAAUAAAUAAUAGGUAAAGAGAAGGGAGCAUCUUUCAGUCCUCGAAGAAAUCAUUACCUCUAAGAAACACUCUAACCAACAAUGAAAUGUCUCCUCAACCAAUAAAACCUAAUUAAACUGACGAUGCUAAAGCUGGAAGAGAUUGGAUGUUGUGUUGGAACAAAUAAUUUAAAUCUGUGAACAUCUGCAUCUGCAUCUGCUUGUCAAUUUAUUGUUCUGUGGUCUUUGGUGCCCACACAAAGUUAAGCCCAUCUAAUUUCCACUUUUUGUGGUGCUCCAAGAAGUGGCCAGUAGCGUUCCAAAAGGAAGUACUUGCCAGCGAAAGGUGGAGGCCUGCAUGUAUAGAAUCUACUCUCCUCUCCCAAAAUUUCACUGCGUUCGGCAAGGCCCACAUUUGCGAGUUCGGCAAUGUUGACUUACAGGCUAUGUAUCACGAAUAUUUUCAUAAGUCUCAUGCGUCCGUGUCGAACGCGCUCGCGUCUGUGUCAGACACAUGUGUCUGAUAUGGACACUUUUUUGACGCACGUUAAAUGCCGAUCCAUAGUGUAAUACAACUAAAAAUAUGUAUAUACAUGUUUUUAUUUUAUUUUUUCUAUGUAUAUGUAAUGUAAGAUGAUAAAUAUUUUAGUUUUUUUUUAUAAAUACAUAUAAUUUUUUUGACAAUAUAAAUAAAUUAUGUAAGGUAGAAAAUUUCUUUUCUUAAAAUAUAUAAAUUAUUAAUGAAAAUUUUAUUAAUUUUCAUCCGUAUGAGAAAUAUAAUAAUAUUUUAUCAAAAUUAAUAUUUUAUAUAUAAUAAAAAUAUAUUAUUAUAUUAAUAAUAUUAUAUUUUAUUAGCGGCGUUCAUGUCGUGUUCGUGUCCUAAUUUUUUGAAAUCUGUCGAAUUGUGAUGUUCGAGUCGUGUCGUGUUCCAUGUCACGUAUUAGUGGCUGUGACGCCUCGCUUAUAGGGACCAGCAUCCUACCCUAUUACCAGGAGUCGGGUUGGAUCGAGUCAUAUUCGAAAUAGUGAAAGACUGAAUUGGAUCCAGUUAUGUUCGAUGUAGUGUAAGGUUGGAUUGGCCAAGUUACAGUCAAGACCCGUGGACGCUAUGUGAAUUAGUUUUAAAUUUCUAACAGCUCGAGUUUUUUGAUUUAAUGAUUCACGCCAAUGAUCCAUCAAAUAGUAUCAGAACAGAGGCCAAGGAUUCGAUUCCGAUAUGCUGUGAAUUUGUACAGGUGCUCUGAAGGGAUUGUUGGCUUCAAAGAGCCCCGCCAUGUGGUGAGAGGCUAGAUUGCGCCAAAUUAUGUUUCAAGUGGCGUUAAGCUAAUUGGGCCAACUAUCCAACAGGCAAGGCUAGGGAUGCAAAUGGGCAGUUCCCCCGCCUUCCACUCAUACUACCAAAAUCUCGCCCCGCCUCCCGCCCUGAAUCAUAAUAUCACAUAAUCCAUCCUGCCUCAUAAUCUACCUACCGUAGGAGCCCCGAAUCCGUCCCGCCAACUAUUAACUUUUUUUACAAAUUAUAAUAUUAUUAAUACUUUGUAAAAUAUAAAUUAAUAAAAUUUUUAAUAUAAUGAAUAAUAUUACCAGGUUAUAUAUAUAGAAUUAUGUUACUAUACUAUUGAUAGUAGCAAGUGCUUGCUGUUAUCGAGUUUUCGGCCAUUGGGUGAAAUGAUGUGCGGUUAGGAUGAUAAUGGUGUUCUAGGGUUGAGUGGGUGGUUGGUUGAAUAGUAUAAUCUAACGGAUGGAAAUAGUCAAAAGAAAGAUCUAACGGGCAGAAAACUCGAUAGUACCAAUAGCUUGGUACUAUCAAUAGUAUAAUAGCCGGAUUACAUAUAUAUAAAAUUAAUAAUAUUAAUUAUAAAAAUAAAAAAUAUGUCUUGAAAAUUAUUUUUUAUUAAACUGUAUCAAACUGUAUUGAACAUUUAUUCUAUUUUUGAUACGUAGUUUAAUGUUGAUCCAAACAGCAAGAAGAGAAAAAAAAAAAAAACUUGAAAAAUUUUCACAUAUGCUUAAGCACGGGGCUCGCAAAACCAUGCACGUAGGCCCACUGAAGGAGUCAAUAGAGUUGCUCAACAAGCCCUUUCAAAAGGGCUUAGAGCUAAACAUAUAGGUCCAUUUGGUUCGGAGGAUAAGCAGGGAUAACGAAAGUUAUCCCCGCUAUUCCGCCAAACAGAAUGAUAUUUUAUUGGAAUAUUUUAUUCCGGUCAAAUCUUACUAUUCCCGGUUAUUCCGAAAUAGUAAGAAUUUUGGUGGAAUAGUACUAUUCCAAUACUUAAUUUUAAAGUUAAUUAAAAUUAAAUUAUAUUUUAUAAUAUAUUAUUUUUAUUAUAAAAUUAUUAAUUGUACUAUAUUAAUAUAUAUUAUUUAUAUUUAAAUAUUAUAAUAAAAUUUAUAAUAAAUUAUAUUUAAAUAUUAUAAUAAAUUCUUUUUAUUAAAAUUUAAGUUUAAGUAGAAAUUUUUAAAAAAUUUAUAAAUUUAUUAUAAUAAAUUAUUUUUAUUAAUUGUUCCCACCCUUAUUCUUAUUUUAAAAUUUUAAAAUUUAAAUUUUUAAAAUUUAUAAUUUAUAAUCUCAAAAUUAAUAAAAAUAAUUUAUUAUAAUAAAUUUUUCAUCUUACCUAACAAAAUGCUAUUUUUUUUUAUUCCCAGGAAUAAUUCAAUUAUCAUCCAAACGCAGAAUUGAUAUAAUCCCCGCUUAUAUCUUAAUUUAUACCUAUCUCUGGAAUAGUCACUUUUUGUUUAUUUCCGAACCAAACGAUAUCUAAUUAAAGCAUUGUAUAUUUUAUAACAUUACAAUCCAGGGUUAAAUUAGAUUACUUUUUUGGAUUUUUUUUAAUUUUUUUGAAAACUAUAGGACGUCCAUUAUGAAAAAAAUAGUUUUAAUUUAGAUAGGUAACAUCAUGAAACAUACAUCAAAAAAUUAAUAUAUAAAUAUUAUAAAUCUAAAUCUAAGGCUCCGUUUAGUUCAAGGGAUAAGCGGCGAUUACGAAAGUUAUUCACACUAUUCCGUCAAACGGGAUAAUUUUUUGUCGAGGUAUUUUAUUCCGGUCAAAUCUUGUUGUUCUCGGUUAUUUCAGACGCUAGAUUUCCAACCAUGGGGGAUAGGGUUGUGUGCUGCCGCACUGUACAUGAAGUUGGGACCGGUGCUCGGAGAUCAUGUUCUUGCAACCGCUCUCAGCAUCUGAUCUUCAAGUUAAUUUGAUGAUCUUUCCCGAAUAGCUACGCCCACGGUUCAAUGAAAUGAUAGGUUUUUGUGUGGAGAUCUGGCAAAACAAACAUUCUCGCAAGCACAAUGAGGCAAUUGAAUAAUUAUUUGUUUGAAACUAUUUUUAUGUAAAGCUGAAUUUUAAUUUUCUUUGCUGCUGCUGCUACUGAUCCAGUGAUCCAUUCCAAGUUUCCAAAUAUUGCUGCCACAUUCCUAAUUAGUUUACAACUAUAUAGAUGAUUUUUUGUCAGGAGUUUUGAGUUUGCCUAAAGCUUAAUUUAUUAUAUAUUAUUUAUAAGAAGAAAUCCACAACUGUAAAUAUCAUCUAAGGGUAUGUUUCUUUCAACGUAAGUAAACUUUGGGUGAAAGUGGACUUUCGGUUGAAGUGGAGUUUAAGUGGUGCAUUCUUUUGUGCUUCUUUAAAUUCAAAUUCCGAGAUUAACAUUUCCAUUUAUAAAAACCAAUAAAGAGGUGACACGUGCGCAUAAAACUUAUUCUUAUAUAUGAUUAAUUCCACUGUACCUUGUUAUAUAUGUAGGUAUAUGUUAUCAAGCGAUCGGUUGAGCUAAAGGAGACACGAAUAAAAAUAAAAAUAAAAAUUAAUUAAUAUUUGAAAUGCUUACAAGUUAUAAGUUUAUGAGUAAUGAGUACAGAAUACUUCUAAAGUAUACGGAACAUUUAUUUUCAUAUUAUUCUGAUAAUAGAGUAUUCGAAUUAAUAACCGGCAUCAUUAAAUAUAAUUUAAAUUAUUUAAAAUUUUUAAAUAUUAAAUUAUUUAAAUAAUUUAAAUUAUAUAUUCAAUUAUAUUAAUUAUCAAUUUGAAUAUAUGAUAGUCAAAUAUAAUACUAAAAUAAAUGCCAACCUUUACUUUGAGAAAUAAUCGAGCUCUAAUUCACAAUAAUAACAAGUAUUAAAAAAAAGUCAAGCGCAGCCGCGCGCGGGCCACCCACGUACGCACACGUACCUCAACCAAAUUGACACGCGCCACCCACGUACGUACACAUUCCCCAACCAAAUUGACACGUGCUAGCUUAUAUGUAUGUAUACUAUUUAGGCCACAUAUAAUUCCUAAGUAAUCAAAGAUUAAAAAAAUUAUAUGCAUACCUAAAUUUAUUUACAUUUCCAGCUAAAUUUAUUUCUAAAUAAAAUAAACGAAGCGGGUAGCGUGCUUUUUAUCUCUCUAAAAAAAAAAAAAUUAUACAUACCAAUAAAAUUAUUAAAAAUUGUAUUGGAUCCGUUAUUUAGUUUACGAUUUAUAAUAUUUCAAUAAUUUUUAUAUUUUUUACAAAAAUAUUUCAAUUACUAUUAGCUAAUUUAAAUUGAAAAUUUGAUUUAAGUGAGUUAGCAGAAUCAUUAUAAAUAUCUAGGUGGUAGGAAUACUAAAUUGAUAUGAUUUAAUAGGGAUUCUCUUUUCUAUUUUUGAUAGAAAUUAUUAAUAGCCUAUUAAGAAUAUAUUUUUAAUUAUUUUUCAAUUUAAGUGACUUAAUAAAUUAGUAGGAAACUUAUCUUCAAAUAUAAAAUAAUAUAUAUUAUAUUUUUGGAAAAUUUGAACUAAACGGCCUCUCAAUGUAGAGCCGUGUUUGACUCGCAAAGACUUAUCGCGGCCAACCUAAAAUUAAUUUCAGAUAAAUAUGUGUGGAGAAUGGAGAUCCCUUCAAUUAUAUAUAUCUCAUUUUAAUAGACCCCCAAAACUUUUCUGAUUAGUACAGCUUCUUUAAUACCGGUCUCUAGCGCUAGCGAUAAAAAACUUAGUGGUUGAUACCUGAGAUUUCAAGUUCGAAUUAGUUUAAUUGUUCUAUAUUUUCAGCUACGUAUGUUUAUUUAUAAAAAAAAAUAAACGAAAUGGAUAGCACGCUAUAUUUCUCUUCAAAAAAAAGCACUUUAACUACAAACUGCAUUUUCAUUGAAACUAGAUCAUAGUCACCAAAAUCUAAAAUUUGUUUUCUAAGAAGGCAUUUAGAACAGCUAAAUUAACAAAAUCUUUAUUGAAUUUAAUAACUUAUUAUUUAUUUUAUACAAAUAAUUUAUAUUAUGAGAAGAACAAGUCGAAGUGUAUUUGAAAAGUCUAGUUUUGGUUUUUUGGGGAAAAUAUGGCAAGCUAUUUGUUUCUUUCAUUUUUAAGAAACGAACUCAUCUUAAAAAAAGUUAAAAAUGUAAACUAAUUGUGCUUCUAACUUGAAAUUUGUGUUACCAGCCAUCUAAAACCUUAGCGAACUGCUACAUUGAUUAAUAAAGGUUAAUAAUAAUGGUUAAGAGAUUUAUAGGAUAGAUUACUUAGAUUACCGGAGAGACGACAAAAUUAUUUUAAAAUCUAGCAGUGGUACCACAUCAUCUAUAAUUUUAACUAAUUAAAUUUGCUCUUGCUCAGAUUUAUCCAUUCAAUCGUGUUUUUUUUAUAAAAAAAAUAUUAUAUUUUGUUCUAAAAAAAAAUUGGUUGGUUUGAGAUACAUGUGAGGUAAUGCUAUUGCUACAAAAUAGACCACCUAGUGACGCCGAUAGUGACGACCAUGAUUGCGUAAUGAUCUUAUAUAAAAAAUUUCAUCUCGUACGUACGAAGCUAUGGAAAAAAAAGAAAAAAAGAAAAAAAAAAGGGAAUAGUUUAUAGAUUGGCCUAUAUAUAUAUAGAGGGUCAUUAGAAGAGAAAAUUAAGCAGUAGCUCGGUCCUAAUUAAUUAACGUAGUACUACAACAAUGAAGUUGGAACAAGUGCUUUGCAUGCUUGGAGGAACUGGAGACCACAGCUACGCUACCGUCUUCAACCUUGAGGUCUCUCUCAGAAGAUUAUGAGUGCUUUUUUAUGUUCUCAGAUUUAUUUAUUUUUAUUUUAUUUAUUUAUAUCGAAAUUUUACUGAGUCGAAAAUAUGAGGAGAAAUAUUGAAUACAAUACUUUCAUUGUAAUAUUGUACGUACUAUACAUAUGCAUGGAAGCUUAUGUUUUUUUUUUAAAAAAAUGUGUUUUCACAGAAAAUAUAUAUGAGUUGGAUAAUUAGGUUAAGGUUACAUUAGAAACAUUGGAUCGGCGCAUCUGCUUCACCAUUCGCUGGAUCAUUUUUGAGCCCAUAUGUGUUUCAAAGUGAAAACACCACUCUCUCUACACUUCACCUUGGAGCCUUUCAUUUUUUUUUUUUAAAGAAUUUUGUGCAUGUAUAUAUCUUUGUAUCUCUUUAAAUAUAUACCUUAUUCCUUUCCCGCCAUGCACAACACAUUCUGGUGCUGUAUAUAUAUUCAGGACAAAACCGUACCAGAUGCUAUAUUUAUAAUGAAGCAAUCAGUAGAGGAGCUCUACCACGACCUCCUCCCGGAGAACUACGUGGUCGUCGCCGACUUGGGCUGCUCCUCGGGGCCCAACGCAUUCAUGUACUUUGCGGCGAUAAUGGACGCUAUCGGCGAGAGCUGCGACCGGUUGAGCCGCCGGGCCCCGGAGAUCCAGCUGCUGUUGAACGACCUCCCGGGAAACGACUUCAACACCCUCUUCGGACUCUUCGCGUCGAGCAAGGAGAAGAUGAAGGAGGAGAAGGGAGAGAAGUUUUUACCUUUUUACCCUGCAGGGGUCCCUGGAUCGUUCUAUGGGAGGUUGUUUCCUGCAAGGAGUGUUCACUUCAUCUAUUCAUCUCUUUGUCUUCACUGGCUCUCUCAGGUUUGCCUCACCAUACUUUUCAGAAAAAUACUACCUAUGCAUCUAUUUAUAAGUGUAAAUCUUGUAAUAUUCUUAAUUCUAAAAUUUAUAAAUACAUAUGUAAGAGAUUUUGAAUAAGUAGGGUGUAAGAUGUAUUGAAUAUAAAAUAGAGUGAGGCUACUAUGCUUCUGGAAGCACCGAGCCUUCCGUGCUUCCAGGUCGUUUUCGAUGUUGCGACUUUCGAAUCGUCGAUCGACUCAGUUAAACUUGAUCUAGAGUAUUUGAAAUACUUAGAAAAUAAAUUUUAUGAUUUUUCGAUAUCAUUUGUCUAAUGAUCGAAGGGACUCAAAAUCAAUAAUUUUAACGGCCGUGGUGAGCCGUUUGCAAGUUUAACGGUGUAGAAAUAUCCAAAUCACGUAAAAUUUUGAUAGAAAAUUUUUUAUACUAUAUAAAACAAGAUCAAUAUCUUUGAUCUAAAAUUUUAAUGUCAUAUUAUUACGUUUUGUAAGAUUUUUAUUUUCAGCCGUUGAAUUUGAGCCCCUUAGUUCACUAGGCAAAUGAUAUCGAAAAAUUACAAAAUUUAUUUUCUAGGUACUUCAAAUACUCUAGAUCAAGUUUAACAGAGCCGAUCGACGAUUCAAAAGUCGCAACAUCGAAAAUGACCUGGAAGCACGGAAGGCUCCGUGCGUCUAGAAGUAUAGUAAUCUCACUCUAUAAAAUAUAUCUAUAAACAUCAUUUUUUAAUAACUUAAAUUUUUUGAGUACAUCAGUUGUUUCAUAUAUUUUACAUGAUAACAAAGUGGAAGGUCCUGAGUUUUAAUUAAGCCCACAUCAAAAAAAUCAAUAUGAUAUUUUUUUUUCAAUUGUAGGUUCCUCAAGGACUUGAGACUAACGGAAAUACUGCAGUGAACAAAGGAAAUAUCUACAUCUCAAAGACAAGCCCUCCUCUCGUGUCUAAACUAUAUACGGAGCAAUUUCAGAGGGACUUCUAUUCGUUCCUCAAGCUUCGAUCAGAAGAAAUAUGCACCGGAGGACGAAUGGUCUUAAUGUUCUUCGGUCGGAGAACUUGGGAUCCUGCAGAAGAAGAAAAUAACUAUAUUUCGACUUUGCUUUCGAAGGCUCUCAACGAAAUGGUCUUAGAGGUAACUAACUACGUUUGUCACAGAUUUGUUUCAUUAAUUCUCAAUCCAUUUAAACACAAACUUUUAGCUAAAUAAAUCAUCUAAAUUAUCCUUUCAAUUUCAGGGGAUUCUAAAAGCCAGUGAAGUGGACUCAUUCAAUCUACCAUAUUACCAGCCUUGCAUGGAAGAAGUGAAGAUGGUCACGCGAGAUGAAGGAUCAUUUGAUGUCGCGCACGAGAGUGUUUUCGAUUUGAAUUGGGAAGUUCUUGGCAACUUAGAUGAUAAGUCCCUCACGGACAACAAUGCAAGUGGAGAGUACAUAGCAAAGAUCAUGAGAUCAGUGUUAGAACCUCUGUUUGCAUCUCACUUCGGCGAGGCCAUAAUCGACGAAUUAUUUUCGAGAUUGACGGCAAAACUCACCAAGCACAUUGAAACAGAAAAGGGGAAGUAUGUUAUUUUUGUAGUGUCUUUGAGGAGGAUAUAUAGGGUGAAUUCUUGAAAUCUAGAACAAAACUUAGCGGCGGAGGUUCAAACGACAAAACCCAGUCGCAGUCCAAGCUUCACAUGCAUGCAUGCAUGCAUGGCUAGUUUCGCUAAUAAGGCUAGCACAAUUUAAUUUUGUGCGCAAGAACUUUCUUUUUAUGCAUGUUUAAGAAUAUGUUAUCACCUUAGUUUCUUUCUAUAAUUUCCGCGUGGUGGCGACGGAGUAAUCUUGUUUAAUUCCCUGUGUCACAAGUCUCUAUUUUUAAAUCAAUUGAGUAAUUUUGUUUAAUUCCCUUUACCAAUAGUCAAGAAUAUUUAACAAUAUACUUACUAUAAUAUAUUAAUUAUCAAGAUAUGUGGCAGGCCCCUGUAAGGGUAACGGAGUUCCGCAUAACAGCUAACAAUUGAUCGCCAUUAUAUUUUUUUAUUAAGGUGAUAUCAAAAUCCGAAUCACUCAAUCGGAAUGAUAUAGACAAAUUUUAGAUGAUUACAUAUGAGCCUUCAUAAAAUUGUAAAAGAAGCCACUUCUCGUUCGUUCCUUACAAUUUAUUUUUUGUCAUUUCAUUUCAUACGCUUAAGAAAAAUAUCUAGACCAUUUCAUUAAUGUAAAUCAAAGCAAAUCGACAACCGCGCUACUACGCUAAACAAAUUCACUUUUACGAUAUGCAUCUCAUUUAUUUCAUCCUACCUAACUCUAUAUUCGCCAUUAAUAUUCGUCAGAACAAGAUUCAAGCUUAUGCGCUGGGAGUAAAACAUGGCUUAUUAAUUUGAUCUCAUCUCUUCUACUUCCAGCAAUAUAUUCUAGUAAGACAUUUUGGAAAAAAUAGAUAGCAUGUUAUCUGUUUUAUUUGUUGUUUCAGAAAUAAACUAAAUAGCUAGAAAUGAAAGCAAAUUAUUGAAGUUCUAACUAUAGCAGUUGAAGAGAAUAACUUAACAAAAGUUAAGCGUAAGAAUUAUGUUUAACAGCUUAAGUUUCGGUCCAAUAAUAUUUAGCUUCAGGGCCUCAGAGGUAUUUUAAAAAUAGGUGAUCAAACCAAGUAUGUGUGUAUUUACGGGGGGGGUUUGAUCGAUCUUCAGAUAUUUAGGUUUUUAUAGUAAGUUGUUUAUUAUGGCGUUUGGGCCAUUGGGCCUAUGGGCAAUCCUCAAAAAAUGUUUAAAAAAGAUAAGCCUUAAUUGCCUUUUCAGCAGAAGAUUUCUUCUUUUUUUUUUUUUUUGGUAAUUUGACAAUAAUCUCACCACCUUAUAUAUAAAAUUAUUUUAUUAUAUAAAUAUACAUUUAUUAUAUCUAGUGCAAAUGACUAAGAUUUUAAUAGUUGAUAUCUGAAAUUUCAAGUUCGGUACCUAGUUCUAAUUGUUUCACGUUUCUAGUUAAGCUCAUUUGUAAAAAAAAUUUAGUUAUAGCUACAAAACUGUAUGUAUUAUUAAUUAUACUAUAUUUAUAAUUACCUUCAAUUAAACAAACGAAUCUUAAGAGGAUACGGUAAGAAUGGAUUUCAAAAGAAGUGCAAAUUUUUCAAACUUAUACGCACAACAAAUUGGGCAUUCAUAAAGUUACAUUUCUCCGAUAAAAUAACAAAUUAAGCAUUCAUAAAGUUACACUUCCGAAUAAACUAAUAUAUCCUUUAAAAAAAAAAAAAGAGCAAAGUUGCCUUCAGAUUUCGUUUUUGUUACGGAACUACGAAGUACAUCACAAAAAGUCGUAUAACCUUGCCGACCAUCCCUAAAACAAGUAGUAAGAAGUUUGGUGUUUGGUACUCGAGAUUUCAACUUCGAAGGUUAACUGUUUCGUAUAAAUUUAUUUUUUUAAAAAAUAAACGAAAUAAAUAAUAUACUAUUAUUCUCUUAAAAAAAAUCAUGUAGCCUUAUGAUGCUUAGUCUGUGGUUGGUUGCACCUAAAAAGUGUAUGGGGACUUUUAUUUUCAAUUGAAAAUUAGUUUUUUACGAGCUUGAUUCCAGGUGCAAUAUGUUGACAAACAGUUUUACAGGUGGAAUAAAUUCCCGGUGGAGGGUUGGGGACGGUGGUUUGAAUAUAUUUCCUUUUCCGCCAAAAAUAUGAAUGUUUUGAAGACUAUUUUCAUUUUGCGGGAGAUUACUUACACUUCAAUAAACAUAAACAAUUUUAUAUAAAACAUGCUUUUAGAAAGAAAGAAAAAAAAAAAUCCCUUUUGUCUAUAAUUUUAUAUAUAACCAAACACUACCUACCUAACAAGAUAGAGAGAAGCAAUUAAAAAGGAUUCAUGAAGAGCGUGCUCAACGACUGAAAUAGUAAAGAGACGUGCUCAAAAAGCCGUUUCAAAAGGGUUCCUAAUUAAAGAAACACUACCUACCUAACAAGAUAGAGAGAAGCAAUUAAAAAGGAUUCAGGAAGAGCGUGCUCAACGACUGAAAUAGUAAAGAGACGUGCUCAAAAAGCCGUUUCAAAAGGGUUCAUAAUUAAAGACUAUAUAUAUAUAUAUAGAGUUGGACUGGGCUACUAUUAGUAGCAAAAUUCUAUUAUUGCUAUCAGUUUUUUAACCUUUGGAUCAACUCUUUUCAUUAUUUCUAAUCAUUGGAUUAAAUACUAUAACCCAGUGGGGACCACUCAACCCUAGGGGGACCACUCAAUUCUAACCGACUAAUAUCAUCCUAACUCUACAAUUUUUCAUCCAAGGGUUAAAAACUUGAUAGCAAAAAGUGCGUUUUACUAUUAAUAGUAUUCCAGCCUAAUUCUAUAUAUAUAUAUAUAUAUAUAUAUAGUGAGGCUACUAUACUAUCGGAAGCACGGAGCCUUCCGUGCUUGUACCUCGUUUUCGAUGUUGGGACUUUCGAAUCGUCGAUCGGCUCCGUUAAACUUGAUCUAGAGUAUUUGGAGCACAUAGAAAAUAAAUUUUAUUAUUUUUCGAUAUCAUUUGCCUAGUGAUCGAAUGAGCUCAAAAUCAACAAAUUUCAAUGGCCGUAGUGAGCCGUUUGUAAGUUUAACGGUGUAAAAAUAUCCAAAUCACGUGAAAUUUUGAUAGAAAAUCCUUUAUACUAUAUAAAACAAGAUCAAUAUCUUUGAUUUAAAAUUUUAAUGUCAUAUUAUUACAUNUCGCAACAUCGAAAACGAGGUGGAAGCACGGAAGGCUCCAUGCUUCCGAUAACAUAGUAGCCACUCUCUCUCUCUCUUUCUCUCUCUCUCUCUCUCUCUCUCUCUCUCUAUAUAUAUAUAUAUAUAUAUAUAUAUAUAUAUAUAUAUAAAAAGUAGGGUUACGGUACUAUUAGAAGAACAAUAGUCAUUAUAUUCCUAAGUUCGUAACUAUUCAUUAAUUUUGAUAAGUGAUUUGGAUUAAUAUUUCAUUUUUCUCAUUUCUCUCUCAAGUUUUAUUUUUUUUUAAUUUUUGUUUUCAAUUUCUCUUAUCUCGCUCAUUCUAACCAUUAAUCAAAAUUAAUGAAUGAUUAUGAACUUAAAAAGCAUAAGAAAUUUUGCGCUUCUAAUAGUACAGUAACACUACUCUCUCUCUCUCUCUCUGUAUAAAUAGAGGGAGGAUUAGGCUAGAAUACUAUUAAUAGUAGCCCUACUUUAACGAUGUAAAAUUUGAUCGUACUAAAUGUUUGAUGCUAUUAAUAACAUGAUAGCCGAACUAUUACAUAAUAUGAGUCUCCAUAGUGGAAUGGUAGCAUGGUAGCCGAACUAUUACAAAUUUUAUCGCAUUAAAUGGUUGGUGCCAUUAAUAGCCGAACUAUUACAUAAUGUGAGUCUCCAGAGUGGAAUUUUUGUACUCAGCGGACAUCAUUCUAGAUAUGCAUGCAAAGUAAUGUGAAUCUCCAGAAUGGAAUUUUUGUACUCAGCAGACAUCAUUCUAGAUGUGCAAAGUAAAAGAGAGAUAAUAUUAUUAUUAAUUUCAGGAAACACCCUCAGUUAAUUAUAACUCUUUUUAAAAUGGAUCCUUCAAAUUUUCUUCUGGAAUUUAUAAACUUUAGAUAUUAAUGUUAAUUAAAGUUAAUUAAAUUCUCUACAAGGUACUUAUGUUAACUAUUAACAAAAAUACACAAUCCUGCCAGCUGAAAAGUAUUUAGGAAAACGUUAAAUUACAAAAUUUUUAUAAAACUUCAUAAAUUCUUGGCUAAAUUAUAGAAAACCACCAUGUUAAUUAUAUCUGUUUUUUCACUUUUCCUCUCUGAUUUUUAAAAAUCUAUAUUUUACCCCUUCAAAAAUUAAAAAAUGUUUAUUUUGGCCCCCGUACGUGAUUAUUGUUCCGUCAGGAUUUCGUUUAUAUUUUAUAUAUCCAAAAUAUCCUGAGAUUUUUUUUCCCAGUCGUGCUGCCUUUCUCCUCGCUGACGUCCUCGGCCACGCCGCCUUGCUCCUCGCCUCCCUCCAUGGCAAGCUCAAGUCCUCCACCCACACCCACGCCCUCGCGCUCCUUCGCCGUCUCGCCCUCGCCCACCCCGACCUCCUCCCCACUAUCGCCGAAUAGAGGAGUGGGGAGGGUGCAAGAGGAGUAGGGGGAGCAGGUGGAACAAGCUGAGUUAGAACCGGAAUCGAGAGAGGCACGGAGGACGGAGGAGGAGGGGUUGUGGAUGAAGAAGGGUUGGGGAUGAGACAAAGAGAAAGGAGGAUAUUUCUUAUUUUUUAAGAAAGUAAAAUAUAAAUUUUUAGAAAUCGAAAAAGAAAAGUAAACAAAAGGAAUGUUGAGGGAAAAAUUUUCACUAAUUUAGUCUAAUUUUUUUUUUAAUGUAAUUUAUAAUUAGAAAAAAGUGAAAAGAAUGCCUGCGAACUUAUUUUUUAAAAUUCGCAGUAGUUAGGGGGGUCCCACAACAUUAAGGCGGUAGUUUGGAGAGAAGAAGAUCCUCCAAGGCAUGCAUGAGGGGGGUCGGAUCACGUACGUGUAUGAAGACGCAAUAAACUUGGCAUCAUAUGCGACAACGGUGGACAACGGUAGCCACCACUGGACGAUAAUAUAAUCUAAUAUAAAAAAAAUUAGUUUCCUACGAAGUUAUGGGUCAAGAAAAAAAAAAAAAAAUGUAACAGUCAAUUAAUUUAGCCUAUAUAAAGGGUCAUUUGGGGUAUAGAAAAUGCAGGGAAGCAACCAGUAAGUAAUAAGUAUAAGCUCGCUUCGCAAUGAAGGUGGAAGAAGUGCUUUGCAUGCUUGGAGGAACCGGAGAUGACAGUUAUGCUACAGUCUCCAAGCUUGAGGUCGCUCUCUCUCUCUCAUAUAUAUGGUUGAAAAUUAACAUGGCUAGAAAAAGAAUUGUUAAAUCAUAUGAUAAAUAUCAGAAAAGAAGAUCGUCAUCGAGUUCAUUUUAGCUCUUAAUUUGUAGUUCAAACUACUUUUCCUCCAUUUUAUAUCAAAAUUUCAUGCGUAUUUCUUAUGAUCAAAAUUAGUCAAAAAUGAUAGGGGAAAUAUUAGACAAAAUAUAUUCUACGUUAAACUUUUUUUCCUAAAAUUUAAAAAAAGUUUUAUCACAAAUAUGAGCAUACGGGAGCUUACUUUUAAGGUAACUUAUCCAUGUAUAAAUCUAUCUUUGUAAUAUCCCUUUGCAUUCCUUAUCUCUUCACUGAAAUGGCACGUUAACUGUUUCGCCAUAUUAAUUUGCAGGACCAAACCGUAGCAAAUGUUAUAUUAAUAAUGAAACGAUCAGUAGAGGACCUGUACCACGAUUUCCUCCCGGAGAAUUACAUGGUCGUCGCCGACUUGGGCUGCUCGUCAGGGCCGAACACGUUCAUGUAUUUCUCUCAGAUCAUGGACGCCAUAAGAGAGAGCUGCGACCGCCUGAGCCAUCGCCCGCCGGAGCUCCACCUCCUCUUGAACGACCUCCCGGGAAACGACUUCAACACCCUCUUCGGACUCUUCACGUCGAGCGUGGAGAAGAUGAAGGAGGAGAAGGGAGAGAAGUUUUUGCCUUUUUACCCCGCAGGGGUCCCUGGAUCGUUCUAUGGGAGGUUGUUUCCUACAAGGAGCGUUCACUUCAUGUAUUCAUGCCUUAGCCUUCACUGGCUCUCCCAGGUUUGCCUCACUAUAUAUACACACUACUUUUAGGUUAUUGUGCGUAAAUUUGCUUUUAGUUUUCUAGUGGCUGUGGUUAUAUAGGAGGUGAAAAGGAUCGGUCGGUUCGGAUAUAUAUAUAUAUAUAUAUAUAUAUAUAUAUAUAUAUAUAUAUAUAUAUAUAUAUAUNUACUGUCAUAUUCAAUAAAAAUGAAUUUGAAUUCAAAUAUGAGUUAGAUUUGUAUUCGGAUAUUAUUCGAAUAAUAAUAUAUAUACAUGGUUCGGCUACAAUGCUAUCAAUAGCAUUAAGUUCUUCGUGCUAUAUAUCAAGUUUUCCGCUGUUGGAUCUACUUUUUUAAUCAUUUUCAUAUCUUUAAAUCAUACUAUUCUACCAAUCACCCUCUAAAUCUUAGUGAACUACUAUUAACCUAGCCGCACAUCCCUUCAUCUAAGAGUUGAAAACCUAAUAGCAUCAAUGACUUGGUGCUAUAUAUUAAUAGUAUUUUAACCUACUUCCAUAUAUAUAUAUAUUUACGGGAAUAAGACACACAAUGCAAUUAAAUAUUCAAAUUCAUGUUUGAACUAUGUAUAUCUAUAUUGUAUUUAAUAAAAUUUAAUAUUUAACAAAUAUGAAUGCAAGAGCAAGUUUAGCAUUAAAUUCAUAACAAAUUAAACAAACGAAAUAUAUGUUAGAAAAACACUUUAUCCCCCUAUAAUAAUAGAUAUUAAUAUAUUGAAGCAAGUAGCUUGCUACCUUUCUCUAAAAAAAAAAAUAAAAAAAAUAGAUAUUAAUAUUCCUCUUAUCUUCUAGGGAUGAAAAUGGUCAAAUUCAAUCGGAUUUUUAAGAAAUCAUAUUCGAUUCUUUUUUUUAUUUAUUUUUUUAUGCGAAUUCAGAUGCGAAUAUAUAUCGAAUACUAAAUUUUAAUAUCUACAUGUAUAUCCUAUAUAUCGAAUUCAGUGUCGAAUUAAUUUACUAGGAGUUUAUCGUAAUCACUUUCACCUCUAGUCGUAGUGCUUUUAAAGUAGGAAGGAAUAUUAUAAUUUAUAAGGUGGAGAAAUUAAGGUUUUCGUAACCUUGUCGAUCUCUAGUGCGUUUGUGAAUAUUUUUCUUUCUAAUGAGAUCGCGUAUCCCUUUCUGAGCCAACAUAAUACUAUUUUUUUAUCUUAAUUUAGUAGACCUUACCCAAGCAGAAUCUUCUUGGGAAAGACAGAAAACUACACAGCCUCUAUCAAUUGUUGAACUUCUUCUUUAGCACCAUCGAUUAUUGAAUUGUAUCAAAACUAUUCUACAUCACGUUGACUAAGAGUUUCGGACCAAUUUAUCUUGAAUUACAACUAAUUUUAAAUAAUUUUGUGGUAUUCUGUAGAAUUAAUAAAUCUAUUUAUCAUCUAAAUAAUUUUUUUUUGUUAUUGUAAAUUUAUUUUUUCUCUACUUAAUUUUUUUUAAAAAAAUUCAAUAUGACAUGAGUCUCAAUUGGAUCUUAAUCGAUAGUUAUUUAAAGUUAAAGAUUUAUUAUUCUUUUUAUGAAUCUCUAUUUUACUUUGCCUAUAUUAGUAUGCUCCUUUUAAAAUUUAUUAUUUGUGCAGUUCAGUUUAUUUUAAUUCAAGCAAAAAAUAUUUUAAGUUAAUUUAAAAAGUAUAGGUAAUAGAUUAUGUACAAAAUAAGAAUUUUAUUUAAUUUUCAUAAGUUAAUUAUCCAUAUGAAUAUUUAUUAUAAUUUUUUAAAAUUAAAAUAAUAUUGUUUUAUAUCAACUCUUUUAGAAAAGAUUCUAUAAUUAAACAUGAAGAAACCUCAAAAUAAUUAAGAAACAAGUAUAUAUGCAAGUACCAUACAUGCAUGAACAUUAUGAAACCACCAAAAUAAUUAAGAAACAAAAAAACAAAAUUGUACUGCCGAGUACUAUUUUGCUGUAAUUAAAAGUCGUACAGAUUAUCCAGUCCAAACCAGCUCAUCAAACGGGUCAACUUUUGGUACCAUUUGGUCAACAGAAAUAUUAUCCAUCAUUUUUUUUUUUUACUUUAAGAGGAAAAAAACAAAAAAAAAUCCGGAUCGAAUCGCCGGUCUAGUUGCUCUUCCUAAAAAGGAGCAUUACCCUUUUGAAAUCAACCGACUAUACCAUUUCUUCAUUUCUUUCUUUCUUUCUUUUUUUUAAUAAUCUUUCUGGCUAUUGCUAUCAAUGGAAUAUAACAAUGCUGUCUGUACAUUUCUAAUCUCUAGAUUAGGAAGUUGUUCGGUUUAAUAUAGUUACAACUGGACUAUAAUUGUAAAUUAUAUAUAAAUUCAAAUUUUAAUUUUUGAUAUGGUUGAAUUUAAUUAUUGCGGUUGGAAUUACAUGAGAAUAUUCAAUUAUAACGGUUAGAAUUACAUCCAAAUUAACCACAUAUCCAACUAGAGCAAUCAAAAAAAGUAACUUCAAAUAAAAAAUAAGAUUACCUUCCUAAUUACUUUUUAAUCUCCAUAUAUAAUGAAACUUCUAUAUAUAAUUAUAACAACUGAAUCUCAACUGCAUGUUUUUCUAAUUACACUGUAUUUAUAAUUAUAUUCAACCUACAGAAUCAACAACCCCUAGGUAUAAUUAAGAUGUACACCUGGUCUAUCCAAAGAUCCUUCUUCUUCCACUAAUCUUAUCUCUUUUUUCCUUUUUUUGUCACCAAAAUUUUUUUAAUUUUUUUGAACCUUAGAAUUAAAAAGGUGCAAGAUUUAGAUCUAUAUAUAGAUGUACAUGUAGCAUAUUCUAUAAGAUAUAUAAUCCAAUUAAUUAGUAUGAUAUUCUAAUUUUUUAUGAGACCAAAAAAUAGAUCUUCACUUUAUAUAUUCUUAUACAUCACAACUUGAUAAGGACAAUAUUUUGGAAAACAUAAAGCAGAAUUUUUAGACCUAACAUGCAUACCGUAAUACUUCAAAAUUAUAUGGUAGAUAUGUAGGUGUAUACUAUAAUGUGUUAUGAAUUACAAUAGUUUUCUUUUUUCCAAAAUAAUUUUAUAUAUGUAUGAUAUUUUUUUACUAUAGGUUCCUCAAGGACUGGAGAGCAAGGCAAAUAUUGCAGUGAACAAAGGAAAUAUUUAUAUCUCAAAGACAAGCCCUCCUCUUGUUUCCAAAUUGUACUUGGAGCAAUUUCAGAGAGAUUUUCAUUUAUUCCUCAAGCUUCGAUCCGAAGAAAUGUGCUCCGCGGGACAAAUGGUCUUAAUGUUCUUCGGUCGGAGAACUUCGGACCCCGCGGAAGAAGAAAAUAACUACAUUUGGACUUUGCUCACUAAGGCUCUCAAUGACAUGGCCCUGGAGGUACGUAACCUGUCGAAUAUACGAAAGGCCAUAUUAAUUUGAUACAUUACGAGUACAAACUUUUAACGAAAUAAAUCAUCUUAAUUAUCUUUUCAAUUCUAGGGGAUUAUAAAAGCUUCUGAUGUGGAUUCAUUCAAUCUACCGUAUUAUCAACCUUGCAUGGAAGAAGUGAAGAUGGUCACUCGAGACGAAGGAUCGUUCGACGUCGUGCACGAGCACGUUUUCGAUCUGAAUUGGGAAGCUCUCAGCAACUUGGAUGAGAAAUCCCUCGUCGACAACUUUGCAAGUGCGGAGUUUCUGGCAAAGAUCAUAAGAUCAGUUGCAGAAUCCCUAUUAGCACCUCACUUCGGCAAGGCCAUAAUCGACGAAUUAUUUUCGAGAUUCACAGCAAUAGUUGCGGAGCACAUCAAAAAGGAGAAGGGGAAGUUUGUUAUUUUGAUAGUAUCUGUGAGAAGGAGAGGGUAACUUCUUGAAAGAUGAGGUGCAAAUGAUGAACUUAAUAAGCCUUACUUUUGUCGCCGGUUUUAGUUGUCUAUCACAAUCCAUACUUCAUAUGGCUUGUUUCACUAAUAAUGCACAAUUAAAUAUUGUGCACAAGAUCUUUCUUUCCUUUUUUAAGAAGAAUAUUGUGCAAUGGAGUAACCGUGUUUCCCUUUGUACCAAUUCUCUGUUUUCUGCGUCAAAUUGUAAUCUUAAUUGUUUCCCUUUAUCCCACAAUCAGGAAAAUACGUUCUAAGAUAUUAAUUACCAAGAUGUAACUGUCCCUAAUAAAUGAACCAAGUUUUCGGACUGCAUAAAUUGUGGCUCCGAGAACAAAGGACAUGAGUUCGGCUUAGAAAUGAUGUACGUUAGCAAAACAGAGCCUUUGAAUUUUUCUUUUUUCAAAAACGUUUUCUUUUUUUUUUUAGGCUAAAUUACAGAAAAUUCUACUGUCAAUAUACGAUUUUUUAUUUUUCCUCCGACUUUUAAAAAUUUAUAUUUUAUCUUUUUAAAAAAUAAAAAAUAUUCACUUUGAACUCCACCGUCGGUAUUCCAUUAGAUUCCUUCUAUAUCUUAUAAUAAUAUAUUUGUUUACCCAAAAUAUUCUUGUACCCUUCCUCUCAGCAGCGCCGCCUCCCUCCUCGCUGACAACAUUCUCAGUCGUGCCGCCUUACCCUCCUCGGGCGCCUCACUCUCGCAGAUCCCUCUGUACGUGCUAACACCGAUGCCCUCACGCUCCUCCAGCGUCUCACCCUCGCCCACGUCCGUCCACGCCAACCUCGUCCCCACCCCCACCGUUGCCGAAUGGAGGGGCAGUGGGAGUGUAGGAGGAGCAAAGAGAGCAGGUAGAGUAAGCUGAGUUGGAGCUGGAAUCGAAAGAGGCGCAAAGGAUGGAGGAGGAGAUGUUGCUCAUGAUGCAGGGGAGGAGACGUAGAGGGAGAGGACAAUUUGAUUAUUUUAUCAUCACAAUUAACAUCCUACUCCUGUGAUCAUUUUUUAUUUUUUUAAAAAAUAAAAUAUAGAUUUUUAAAAGUCGGAGAGAGAAAGUGAAAAACAAAUAUUGACAGAAAAUUUUUAUAUAAAUUAGCCUUUUUUUUAACAUACGUUUUUGAUAGUGAUCUAUAUUAUAAACUUAGUCCUCAGCUUCUUGACUAAUGCUGAAAUAGAAAAAAAAGUGGCAAGACAAAUUAAACGGUUAAUUUGAGCCAUUAAACUUCUCUUAUAUUUGUAUUGUGAUCCAAUCUAUUCCAAAUUUUACAGUAUAAUUAGCUAUCUUUUUUAUUUAAAAAUAUGAUAAAUGAUUUUCUUUUUUUUUGUUAAGGGUUUGGAUCAAAAAAAUUUAAAUGAUAGAUUUCGUACUCAUUAGUGGUUUUCAAUGAUAGACCUUCUUAAUCGACGAUUCAUACUGUUAAAUAUUAUUUAAAAUAUUUAAAAUUUUUAGAAAUCAAAUUUUAUAAUUUUUUUAAUAUCAUUUAUCUUAUAAUCAAAAGAUCUUAAAAUUGAUAAUUUUUAACUACCGAUAUGAGAUACUUGUUAGUUUAACAGUUUAAAGAAUCAAAAUCGGUCGCAUUUUUGAUAUAAAAUUUUAUUCACUAUUUAGAUAUAGAUCAAUAACUCUGAUCUUAAAUUGAAGUAUCCGAUCAUUCAUUUUUAGGAUGUCUUUUGAUUUUGACUGUUUAUUUUAUACCCGCUUGAUAGACUUUAUUAUAAUUUAAAAAAAUUAUAAAAUUUAUUUUUUAGAAGUUUUAAAUAAUCUAAAUCAUAUUUAAUAGUGCGGAUCGUUGAUUCGAAAGCUCCAGUUGAAAACAAUUUAUAAAUAUGAAGAGCUCUAUACGCAUCAAACUGUAGAAGGCUUGCUUAGUGUGUAUAAGAGCUUCUAUGCUAUCGGAAGUAUAGAGGAUCUGGUUGUUCCGACUUUUUAGCUCUUAGAUCAACUUCUUAGAUCAUUUUUAACCUUUGGAUUAAUACUAUUAUCUGUAGGGACCACUCAACCCUAGGGGUACUACUCAAUCCUAACUAGGUGGGACCGUAAUCAUCCCAAUCGUACAAUUUUUUAUCAAAGGGUUAAAAAGUCGGAAGCAUAAAACCCUCUAUGCUUCUGAUAGCAUAGUAGCUCUACACUAUAUAUAUAUAUAGAGAGAGAGAGAGAGAGAGAGCGCUAAGCUGGUAUACUAUCGGUAACACGGAGGCCUCCGUGCUACCAAAUUGUUUUCAAUGAUGCGGCUUCUAAAUCGACGAUGGGCUCCGUUAGACUUGAUCUACACUAUUGAAAGUAUUUGGAAACUAAACUUCAUAAUUUUUUGGCAUUAUUUACCUAUCAAACGAGUAGUCUAAAAAUGAACGGCUGAAAAUAAAAAUUUCAUAAAAAAUAAUGAUAAAGAAUUCAUAUUUCAAAUCGGAAGUAUUAGUAUUGCUAUUGAUGUUAAAUAGAAUUUUCUAUUAAAUUUUCAUUUAAUUUUGUUACUUCUACACCGUUGAACUUAAAAACGCAUCAUAUCUGCCAUUAAAAUUGUUAAUUUUGGAACCUUUCGAUCACUAGCCAAAUGAUGUCGAAAAAUUAUGAAAUUUAGUUUCAAAAUACUUUUAAUAGUGUAGAUAAAGUCUAAUGGAGCCAAUCGUCGAUUUGAAAGCCGUAUCAUUGAAAACAACUUGAUAGCACGGAGGCCUCCGUGCUACCGAUAGUAUACCAGUCUAGCUCUCUAUAUAUAUAGAGAGAGAGAGAGUGAGGCUACUAUGCUAUUGGAAACACGGAGCCUUCCGUGCUUCCAGCUCGUUUUCGAUGUUGCGACUUUCGAAUCGUCAAUCGGCUCCGUUAAACUUGAUCUAGAGUAUUUGAAGUACCUAGAAAAUAAAUUUUCUGAUUUUACGAUAUCAUUUGCCUAGUGAACGAAAGGGCUUAAAAUCAACGGCUGAAAAUAAAAAUCUUACAAAAUGUGAUAAUAUGACAUUAAAAUUUUAAAUCAAAGAUAUUAACCUUGUUUUAUAUAGUAUAAAGAAUUUUCUAUCAAAAUUUCACGUAAUUUGGAUAUUUCUACACCGUUAAACUUGCAAACGGNNNNNNNNNNNNNNNNNNNNNNNNNNNNNNNNNNNNNNNNNNNNNNNNNNNNNNNNNNNNNNNNNNNNNNNNNNNNNNNNNNNNNNNNNNNNNNNNNNNNNNNNNNNNNNNNNNNNNNNNNNNNNNNNNNNNNNNNNNNNNNNNNNNNNNNNNNNNNNNNNNNNNNNNNNNNNNNNNNNNNNNNNNNNNNNNNNNNNNNNNNNNNNNNNNNNNNNNNNNNNNNNNNNNNNNNNNNNNNNNNNNNNNNNNNNNNNNNNNNNNNNNNNNNNNNNNNNNNNNNNNNNNNNNNNNNNNNNNNNNNNNNNNNNNNNNNNNNNNNNNNNNNNNNNNNNNNNNNNNNNNNNNNNNNNNNNNNNNNNNNNNNNNNNNNNNNNNNNNNNNNNNNNNNNNNNNNNNNNNNNNNNNNNNNNNNNNNNNNNNNNNNNNNNNNNNNNNNNNNNNNNNNNNNNNNNNNNNNNNNNNNNNNNNNNNNNNNNNNNNNNNNNNNNNNNNNNNNNNNNNNNNNNNNNNNNNNNNNNNNNNNNNNNNNNNNNNNNNNNNNNNNNNNNNNNNNNNNNNNNNNNNNNNNNNNNNNNNNNNNNNNNNNNNNNNNNNNNNNNNNNNNNNNNNNNNNNNNNNNNNNNNNNNNNNNNNNNNNNNNNNNNNNNNNNNNNNNNNNNNNNNNNNNNNNNNNNNNNNNNNNNNNNNNNNNNNNNNNNNNNNNNNNNNNNNNNNNNNNNNNNNNNNNNNNNNNNNNNNNNNNNNNNNNNNNNNNNNNNNNNNNNNNNNNNNNNNNNNNNNNNNNNNNNNNNNNNNNNNNNNNNNNNNNNNNNNNNNNNNNNNNNNNNNNNNNNNNNNNNNNNNNNNNNNNNNNNNNNNNNNNNNNNNNNNNNNNNNNNNNNNNNNNNNNNNNNNNNNNNNNNNNNNNNNNNNNNNNNNNNNNNNNNNNNNNNNNNNNNNNNNNNNNNNNNNNNNNNNNNNNNNNNNNNNNNNNNNNNNNNNNNNNNNNNNNNNNNNNNNNNNNNNNNNNNNNNNNNNNNNNNNNNNNNNNNNNNNNNNNNNNNNNNNNNNNNNNNNNNNNNNNNNNNNNNNNNNNNNNNNNNNNNNNNNNNNNNNNNNNNNNNNNNNNNNNNNNNNNNNNNNNNNNNNNNNNNNNNNNNNNNNNNNNNNNNNNNNNNNNNNNNNNNNNNNNNNNNNNNNNNNNNNNNNNNNNNNNNNNNNNNNNNNNNNNNNNNNNNNNNNNNNNNNNNNNNNNNNNNNNNNNNNNNNNNNNNNNNNNNNNNNNNNNNNNNNNNNNNNNNNNNNNNNNNNNNNNNNNNNNNNNNNNNNNNNNNNNNNNNNNNNNNNNNNNNNNNNNNNNNNNNNNNNNNNNNNNNNNNNNNNNNNNNNNNNNNNNNNNNNNNNNNNNNNNNNNNNNNNNNNNNNNNNNNNNNNNNNNNNNNNNNNNNNNNNNNNNNNNNNNNNNNNNNNNNNNNNNNNNNNNNNNNNNNNNNNNNNNNNNNNNNNNNNNNNNNNNNNNNNNNNNNNNNNNNNNNNNNNNNNNNNNNNNNNNNNNNNNNNNNNNNNNNNNNNNNNNNNNNNNNNNNNNNNNNNNNNNNNNNNNNNNNNNNNNNNNNNNNNNNNNNNNNNNNNNNNNNNNNNNNNNNNNNNNNNNNNNNNNNNNNNNNNNNNNNNNNNNNNNNNNNNNNNNNNNNNNNNNNNNNNNNNNNNNNNNNNNNNNNNNNNNNNNNNNNNNNNNNNNNNNNNNNNNNNNNNNNNNNNNNNNNNNNNNNNNNNNNNNNNNNNNNNNNNNNNNNNNNNNNNNNNNNNNNNNNNNNNNNNNNNNNNNNNNNNNNNNNNNNNNNNNNNNNNNNNNNNNNNNNNNNNNNNNNNNNNNNNNNNNNNNNNNNNNNNNNNNNNNNNNNNNNNNNNNNNNNNNNNNNNNNNNNNNNNNNNNNNNNNNNNNNNNNNNNNNNNNNNNNNNNNNNNNNNNNNNNNNNNNNNNNNNNNNNNNNNNNNNNNNNNNNNNNNNNNNNNNNNNNNNNNNNNNNNNNNNNNNNNNNNNNNNNNNNNNNNNNNNNNNNCCGUAUUGCACUCUUACGAGCUUCUUUGCACUCUUUUGAAAAAUAUUUUUCUGUAAUUAACACUGCCUUGCACUAUUAUUCGCGCUUAACUGUGAACUUAUUUAACAAGCAAAAGGACGCGUGAUCUUUUAUAGGAAAACUUUACACAAUCGUUUAGCCGUUAUGUCGGCCCUCUCGAACUCCGAACCCGCCGGCGACCGUCCAGCCCCGCCGCAGAGCUUCCUGGCCUGCCGACUCUUUUGUCGCACAUCGCCGACCGUCCUACCCAGCAGCGACCCUCCUGCGCAGCCGACGCUUCGCCUGCAUUUGGAGGGGACGCCGUUCAUUUGCACUUUUAAGUUCAGAUUAUAUUAAGAAAUGGAGAAAGUUAAAUUUUGACUGAUUAUGAUUUGUUUGCACUGGAACGAGGCUAGGAUGCACUGUUAUAGAGGUCAGUUGCACCAUUUCUCAUUUCGUAGACUUCACAUUGCACUAUUAUCCCUGUUGCGGAGCGCGCACUUUUUGUCAAUAGCGUUCGAAAAUUUCGUAAAGUCUUAAGCAGAACAGGAAACAGCGGGACCGGCGAAUAGCGGGGUCGGAUGUUGUCCGGGUUCCGAGAAAUAAGCGGUCAAUUAAUGCGCGCCAGACCGUACGGCAGGGUAGUAUACGUAUGUCAAGAAAUACGCGGGAGGCUAUUGUAUAGGAGGGGCAUUUUGGUCAGGCGGCGGAAAAAGCGGACCGAAUCUGCAAAAAGAAAAAAGGUGGCCCGAUUUUGCAAAACCCCAAAAUAAGUGAAUUUUUUAUGCAAAUUGGCCAUCAAAAAAUUAUAAACACCAAAGACUGCGGAAAUACAAAAUAAAUAAAUAAAUAAAUAAAUUUAAGAUGGUCUCCGAGCAUGAUCUGUUUGACCAGAGUUAUUCUUUUUUGGAUGGAAUGACCAGCACUGUAAUUCAAUUAACUAUACGUCAAGGCUUCCAACGGUAGUGUUUGACCCGAGUCCACGUCAUUAUAUAUAUAUAUAUAUAUAUAUAGGAAAAGUAUACCAUGUACAUCCGAGUCUCCGUCAUUAUUAUUAUACAUUAAUUAUGCGACCGAUAUAACUCAUCCCAUCUACAAUAGAUAGGUAUACAUUAUACAUUCUUUUCUCUUUUUUUUUUUUUUUUUGGAGUACAUGCAUAAUAUUACUUAUUUUUUACCAUUUAAUAUCUCGAGUUUAGUGAGAAUUGGCGAAAUAAUAAUCCAAGGUUGAAUAAAUUAAUAAUAAACACUAUUUUUAUAUAUCUAUAGUACAUUAGAUGAACUCUCUCUAUAUAUAAUGAAGCUAGAAUACUAUACAUAGUAUGAAAAUAAUAUUUACUAUAUCGAUCUUUUCAGGUGUUAUAUUUUUGAUAGAAUAGAUCAUACUUAACAGAGUCGAUCAUUGAAUCUGAUAUUUCAUAAUCUAAAACAAUUUAUAAGUACGGAGACAUCUAUUAUUUCAAAAGCGCAGAAUACAUACUCUCUCUCUCUCUAUAUAUAUAUAUAUACUAGUUGUAAUGCACUUGCAAAGUACGUCACAGUUACUAAUAAAUUGUUUUAGAUUAUGAAAUAUCUAUUUUUUAUUCUAUCUAGAAUUCGCUCGGUCAAUUUCUAUCCUCAUUUAUAGAAAUCCAAAUCUAUAAUUUUAAAGUUAAAUAAUUAUUGGUUGUAUGAGCCUAUUUUUUAAUUAAUUUAUUUUUAAAUUUGAUUUGUUUUGAUUUAUUUUUAGUCUGAUCCUUAUAAUUAUAUAUUCUUUAUAGUAUGUACAGAAUAUUCUUUUAUUCUAUUUAGGAUCCGUCUAUCAACUUUUAUCUACUUUUAUAUAUAGCAUGCAUAUGUAUAUAAAGUAAUUAAUCAAUUUUAGUAAGGUGCCUAAGAGCGGAAUUGCAAAAUAAAUAAACAAAUAAAUAAAUUUAAGUCGUUCUCCCAGCAUGAUCAGUUUGAACAGUCUUAUUCUUUUUUUUGAAUGGAAUGACCAGUAUUGUUAUUCAAACAACCGUAGAUCAAGGCUUCCAACGAUUAGUGUUUGACCCGAUCGAGUCCCCAUCAUUAUAUAUAUUUAUAUAUAAUUUGACUUUUAUAAGUAUUCCCUACUCAUAAAUUUUCAUGAUAGAAUUUUUGAAUCAAUAAUCUAUAUUAUUAAAAAUAAUUUAAAAUAUUUAAAAUUUAUAAAAGUUAAAUUUCAUAAUUCUACGAUAUUAUUUACCAUACGAUCGAAAAAUCUCAAAAUUAAUAAUUUUUUACGAUCUGUAUGAGAUAUUUCUUAGUUUACCAGUAUAAAAAAAUCAAAAUUAAUUUAAUUUUUGACAUAAAAUUUUAUUCAAUAUAUUUAAAUAAAGAGUAAUAAUUUCGAUCUUAAAUUGAAAAAUCCGAUCAUCUAUUUUUAGAAGCCGUUCAAUUUUGACUGCUUGAUGGACUAUAUUAUAAUUUUGAAAAUUUUUAAAAUUUAUUUUUUAGAAAUUUCAAAUGUUUUGCGUUAUUUUUAACGGUAUAAAUCGUCGAUUCGGAAGGUAUAUCAUCAAAACUUAUGAGUAUAAAAAUAUCUAUACUCAUAAAAGAUAGUAUCCUUCCUCUCUCUCUAUAUAUAUUUAUAAAACUAGACUGCAAUACCAUCUACUUUCUACCAACUGUCCCUAGCGCAAAUGACAAAGAGUAUGGUUGUUGGUACACGAGACACCAAGUUCGGAUCCUAGUUGAUUCACAUUUCUAGCUAUGUUUAUUUCUAAAUGAAAUAAACGAAGCGGAUAUAUAGCAUAUUAUCUAUCUCUCAAAAAAAAUACUAUCCACUUUCUCUCUUAUUAUUAGGCCUUCACAAUUUUGUCAUUUAAUCAACCAUAUAUAUAUAUAUAUAUAUAUAUAUAUAUAUAUAUAUAGAGAGAGAGAGAGAGAGAGAGAGAGAGAGAGGAGUGAUUCUAAACUAAUCUGUUUGCUUAAAAAUUGGGAUCCACUGAUCCAUGGGGAACCUAAAUUGAAUAUUUAGGGCUUGGAUUCGGCUUUUGCCUAUUCCGGGCCUGCCUGCCUGCGUGAUCAAGAGGGCCCCGCGGAAGCUCCUUGCUGACUGCAACGGCGAGGCGCUCGUGCUCGGGUACGCCUACUCCGUACGUAUCUACGAACGAUUAUCGGACGCCGCAUUGAUCUCCGCCCUAUCCCUGCGCCGACUCAGCUUCUUGUUUUCCGGACAGUCCCGCCGCCGACGUCGCGACCGCCCGUUCUCUUAACAUCCAGUUGCCCGCAUCAAUCUGACAACACUUUUCUAUUUCUUUUAUUAUUAUUUAUUAUUAUUUCUCUCUAAAAAAAAAAAAAUAUUUAAGUUAUACAAUGAUAAAUGAUAUAAUAAUAUAUAUUUAUACUCAUCAUGCAGCUGACCGCGCUGAAUGCGACGCAUUCGUCUUGCCUCAGAAUACCACAACAUACGCGGCACACACCUGAGAUCGCGCAAUUCAUAAACAGCCCUCGCGAGCUGGUCGUCGCGUGGCCGAUAGCCCGCCGGCUGCCGGUGGAGAGGGCGCUGCUCACUGCGCGCGAAACAUCCGCCGCGUCAUCCAGAGUAUCAGCGCACUUCCGUGAGUACGAAACCCCUGCCCGACGACGACCAGUAUAUCUCCCCGCACGCGCUGGGCAUCCGCGCUGUCUUUCUCGGUCCCCGAGUAGUCGCCGCCUUACAAAACGUCUGCUCCGCCUGCCGCCGCAUCCUGCUUCUCCGCCAACUGCUGCUUUCGUUCGAUCUCAUCGCGGCGUUCGUAGUUGCGUGCCGCACGCCGCUCUCCAUAACCUGGACCGCAGGACACGUCUCGGCCUCCAGUUCGUAUGGGACCCGCAGGUCAAAGUGCGGCAGCGACCCCCCUCCGCGGGUUCUACGAACGCGUUGAUGUCGGCGGCGUCGUUCUGAACGCCGGGACUUCUCAAGACUAGCCGUAUACACAAAACAUGAGCUGUGAGGAAAGCAAAGAGGAGUGAUGCUGCGGAGGUACCUACGGCUCGACGGCGACUUAAUGGCUGCGUGGACUGCCGAGUUCCUGACUAAGCGGACUGUUACCUCGUUACGGAUUUACGAAGGCGGGUUGACACGCGACGUGAUCGGUGGUGGAAGGCCCGUCACGGUGGCCCCCGCGACCACUGCUGGAGACGUCACUUGCUGCGUAGAAUAGAGAGGGAGAAUUAGGUCAACGGUGCCCGUGCCUGCCCCGAAGCCAUGAAAGGUUGUGCGGAGGUGAGACUUAACAAAAGGAUGGGUGAGAUAGUAGCAAUAUCCAGUCGGUUAUCACAAGACUGGAAUAUACAGCAGCGGCCAUAAGCUCCAGCACCUAAACACCGGAAAAGACGUUGUCUUUUGCUGUAGAUAUAAAAAAUGACUUGUAUUCGACAUUGUAGUUUGAAAUUCAGUAUUAAUUCAACUAAAUUAUUAAUAAAAUUAAUAAAAUAAUAUAAGAUUUCAACUACUAUCCUCUCAAAAAUUAAAGAAAAAACCAAAGAAGAAAGAAUAAUAACACAAUAUCAUGGGAGAUUAUAACCUAAGGGCUCCGGUAACCAUCCAAAUAAAUAUAUUAUUAAUAUUGAUAAUUAUAUAGAUAAUUUAUGACAAACAAUCAUAAUGGUCAAAAAUUGUUAUGCUCCUGCGCAAUAAUGAUAUGGUUAAUGUUUGUCUGUUACUACCAUCAGUAUGUUAAUUCUGAUGUCGGCAAAAAUCGACGUAAUCGAUAAAAUUAUCGUCUUUAAUGUUUAAAAUUCGUUAAAAUACGCUAAAAAACAUCGUAAUAUUCCGAUACGAAUUAUACCGUAUUAUACGUUCAUUCAUUAAAAAUUCGGAUCAAAAAUUCGGCUAUAUUGUUAAAUAUAUAAAAAUAUACUAAAUAUAUAUUAUAAUUUUAUAAUAUAAAUAAAUAUAUUUCAUAUAUAAUUAAUAAACAUAUCAUUAAUAAUAAUUAGCAAUUUAUAUAUUUUAAAAAUAUAAUAAAAUAAUUACAAAUCUAAAUGUAAAAAUAUCAUAUAAAUCAUUCGAUAUAAAAAUAAAAAUAAAAUAUAUAUAUAAUAAAAGAAUAUAUAUCUAUAUAAUAUAUAUACAGGGGGAGCCACAGGUCCACUGUGGACCUCCCCUCAUAGCGUCCACGAGUGACAAUGCCUCGUGACCGCGUGGCCCAUCCAUUCUAUGAAUCCCCGAUUUUUCCUUUCAUCUUCUUUUUUUUCUGCACCCGAGGCGAGACCUGAAUCCGCAGCGUUGCUCGCAUCCGCGAGGGCGGCGAGGAACGACGAAACGACGUGAGCGGCAACGAGACAGAUCCGACCGUGCCCUUGGCUCCGCGCCUCGGCGAGGGCGGCGGAGACUGACGACACGCGACGCCGACUGACGGCGUACCCUCUAGCAGAUCGCCGAUUUUUGGUCUAAUUAUUCCGAAUCGCGAAUAAUUCGCGAAUAAUAAAUUUUAGAAAAAUCGUUUUUUUUCAAUUUUGAAAAAAAUAGACGGGUACUUCCUCCGUUUAAAUUCUUAUUUUUAAAAAAUAUCCGAAUUAUUCGCGAUUAAUCGCGAAGUAACUAAAACUAGGGCUGACAUUAGAGAACGUGACUGAACAAGCGAUUUAAUAAUGCCAAUAUGACGCACCGCGAAACAACAGUGUUUUAGAGAAGCAAGAGAGUUUAGCUAUUAUAUCAUUAAUAUAUAUAUAUCACUUUGUUAUUUUUAAAAUAUUAAUUAUAUAUCAACCAUCCACUCAAGUAAGUAAUUCAGUUACACGAUAAUAAAUAUUAUACUAUUAAUAUUAUUAUACAGCUAUAUAUAUAUAUAUUAGAAUAACUAAAUAAUAUUAUAUAUAUAUAUAAAUAUAAUAUAAAUAAUAUAUAUAUAUAUAUAUAUAUAUAUAUAUAAAUGAGUGAGCUAGAAACUAUCGUAGAAAAGCCGUUUACUACCGGAGUUAGUUCGUAUGAUAAAUACUACAAAUUGACGAUCGACUUUCGUUGAACAUGAUCUAAUACCACUUGAAUUUUAAAUCAAACUUCAAAUCUUCGACAAUCAUUUGCCAAAUGAAUCAAAGUUUCAAUAAUUUUAAUUUAUGGCCGAUAAAAUCACGUCCUAAAUCACGUAAAGAUACUAAAUCAAUUGAUUUGUUAAAAAUCUUAAACUAGUUAAAAGCAAGAUCUAUACUCUUGAAUCUAUCCAAACUCCUAUCAUUAUUCUUUAAAGAUAUCUUUCACAGUCAUUUUCUGUUCAUUUGUGAUGGAUAAAAAACAAUACGAUAAAUGCGUGAAAAUUGAUUUCUAGUAAGUUUAAAUGUUUAGAUAUUAACGAGCCGAUCGCCAUAGGAAGCUCAUCAUUGAAAACAAACGUAAAAACGGCUCAUCUUAAUUAACUCACAAUAUUCUAGCUCAACNNNNNNNNNNNNNNNNNNNNNNNNNAGGAUUGAUUUUAUUCACUCCUCCUAUUACUGGCUAAAAAUAUAUUUUCAUCCAAGUCACCUCUACUUAUUCUCUCUAUUCUCGAUUGACAUUUUUUUUGACAAAUUAUAUUUCAAUUUCAGAAUUAAACUCUAAAUUUCCUCUCUUCUGGUUGGAUAUCAUUAGUUUUUUAGCAAUCAAGAGUUUUGACGGACCCUCCACCGUAAUGUUAAAUGUUUUUAACUUAUCUAUGCAGGCAGCAAAUCUGUUUUCUCAUUUCAGCACUCUCUUAAUUCCCGUAAUUUUUUGAUACGUGUUAUUAUUGUUAAUUGAAUUCUUAAAAAUUCUAUUAAAUCUAAAGGUUCUUAUUAACAAUUAUAUAAUUUAAUUCAGUUUCUAAUUUUUUUUUUGCUAAACUAAUUAAGUCUGUCUAUAUUAAUUUAAUUAGUAAUGCGCUCAUAAACUUAUUUCACUAAUAACAUCAAAAGUUUUUUUAAAAAAAUCAAAAGUAAGAAGUACUAUGGUAAAAAGUGCAAAAUUUUUUUUUGACACUAUCAAACCAUUUUGAACGGCUACCUCAACCAUUCAAAAUUUUAAUCGUUACUUUCUAAUUUUUUAAUUCAACACAUUGGCGUCAAAUCUUUAAUAUAUUGCCAUUUCAGAAAUCGUCGGUAAAUAUGUAUAUUACCAUAAUAGUAAUUAACUGAAAUUUUAAAGUUCAAAAAAUUAUUAUACUAGAUUUAUAAUUAAAUAAUUUAAAAAUUAAAUAAUAUGGAAUUAAAAUUUUAAAAGUAUAGAUAGCUAAUUCAUAAUCAAAUCGACAGGUAAGUUCUUUACAAUUUUAUCGAGCGAUAGUCCUACCCGUAACACUAGCUCUACACGCAUCAUCUAUCUCGUAACAAUUAUAUCUCUUCUUUUUUUUAUAAAAAAUUGUUUAAUAAAAUAUUUUCUUCUAUCGACAUUUUCUUAUAUGAAAAUUGGGCAAACUUCAUGUAACCUACCCAUGCCUGUUGUGCACUUUCUACAUAUUUAAUACAUGUAUUUAACAGUGUAUCAACGUUCUGUUAAUGACUUAUCGACUUCUAUUUUUAUCUUUUCCGCUUCUCAGUAUUUGCUAUCACUUACACUAUUUUGUUAAGAUAUAUACUUAAAAACCUCUUCAAUAUUGCCCAGCCCUAUGUUCUAUAAAGUGAGUCACUUUAGUAACUUCUUUUGAGUUUACUAAUUUACCACGGAGUUUAACCCAGAAUCAUAAAAAAUAAUAGUUACGACUUCAAUACUGUUAAGGAAUAAUAUAAAUUAUUGGUAGGCUUCCCAUCAUAUUGAAUAUAUUUAAAAUUCGACAAAGUACUAUUGUAAAAAAUGUGAUAACUACAAAAAUAUAUUUAAAAUUUUUUUUCAAAAAUUUGAUUAUGAGAAAAUUCCAUCAACAGCAAUUAUAAGUUGAUAAUCAGAAUCUUUUUUCUUCUUCAAAGUCUUCUUCGAUAGAGAUAAUCAGUAUUUAUAGGGUUCCAUCUCAAAUAUGGCAGUGUGGGUAGCGGUUGCCAUAUAUUUUUACCAUGACAUGAUGUAAUGUGAAAAAUAAGUACAGUGGUGUUUGGAAGAGAGAAAGAGAGAAGUAGAGACAGAGAGAGAGGAACUAUAAAUGAGAUGAAAGCAUUCAUGGCGGUUAUGAUAAGUAAUAAGCAAUGCAUUAUGAUAAUGGUCUGAAAUAGGACAAGACUAAGAGGCAGAGUCAAUAUCAUUUUGAAUUCAUAGCAGCAUAGUGAGACAUUUUCUUUUUUUCAACUUAUAGAAUGAAGAAAAAAUCCGCAAACAAUCAUCCAAUCUCAUCAUCUCUCCUACCCUUUUCCUUCUUCUCUCUCUCUCCUCUCUCUCUCUCUCAUCUCUCAUUCUCUCUCUCUCUAUUCUUUUCUCUCGUCCUCUCAAAACACCCCCCCCAUUUCCCUCCAUCUCCAAAAUUUGCUCAAUAAUAACUACAUAACAUUAGUCUUUAUGAUAAUAAACAACAGUAACACCACUGCGAUUAUAACGCUAAAAUUAUUAGAUUAGAUGCUCAUGCAUAUGCUCACUCCCCACCCAUCUUCUUCUGCAGCAAGCAGUUGCGCUUAUCCUCACGCGGCAGCUACCGUGCGACGACGACCCCAGUAGUCGCCUCCGCCCGACCGCACGACGUCUCUGCUGCAAGCAAAACCCACACCGUCGGCUCGACGUGCGCACGGAGUGGUCGAAGAAUAAUGCAUGCAAUUCUCAUGCGUUUCUUACCUUACCAUCGCACAUUUGUUCAGAAGAGUUAUAGAAUCUUGGCACCUUCAUUCUACGUAUAAUAAAUUAUAUCCAUUAAUGGCAAAUUCUUUAUAUUAAUUAUUAACCGUUCCACUUAAACAAACAACAAAAUUAAUUUACAAUCAAUAAAUAAUAUAAAAUAAUAUCCGAAACCUUGGCGAGCGUUGACGAGUGCCGAAGGCGAUGGGUCUUCUUCUCCGUAAUCCUCCUACGACGGUGUAAAGGUCAGCACUCGCCAGCACGCCCAAACCAGAGGUUGCGAGCUACGAACUCAUCCCAAUUAACAUUUUAUAAAUACCAAUAGAUUCAAGAAGAGUAGACUUUUAAUUACUAAUGACGCAAAAUAAAGAAAGACUCUGUAGAAUAUUUCUUUAUUACACUAACUCUGUUUUCGAAAAUUAUUUAAAAAUUUCCCUUACUUAAUCAAUCAUAAUAAUAAUAAUAAUAAUAAUUAUGAAUUGUUGAAAAAGUUGCUUUAAAUUUCUAUUCAUAUCCCGUUAAGAGCUUCAAGCAAGAGUUAUUAAAUUUAUACAUGUAUCGAGAUCAAAUUAGCCGUGGAUUCUUGGAUCCUCAAAACAUCAAAUGUACUUUUUAUUCAUUAGUAAUAUGUUAAUCUUAUAUAGAUGUAAUUUUUUGACAAACUUUAAAUAAUUUCCUUAUUAAUUAUGCAUUUUUUUAUACUUAAUAUUUCGUUAAUUUAAAUAUAUCAUUUAAUUUGAGAUAUUCUGUAAUUUUAUUUUUUUUUAUUUUCUUUAUUGAUUUUUUUUUGUUAAUCUGUACAAAUUAAAAUCUAAAAAAUAUUAAACUAAAUAUCGAUCAAUCCUUAAUAAAAUAUCUGAAAUUAUUUUUAUUAUAUUAUUUACAUAAAUAUUAUAUUAAAAAACUAACAAUACAAAAAAUUAAUAUAGAACAGAAUCCUUAAUGAUAUUACUUUAAAAAAAACUAAACCAAAAAUUGAACAUUUAUAAGUACUAAAAUUGAACCAAAAUAAAUAAAACAAUCAUAAUAACAUACAAAAUCAAAGAUGCUUCUCUCUAAAUUUACCUGUUCUACUUAUUGUUUUUAUUAAUAUUUAAUUACUUAAAUUGUGUAGAAUAUAACAUUUAUUUAGAUCAGAUACUAUAAUGUUUUGAGUUUAAUUUGUGGAUCUUGAAGAUAAAAAAAAAAUAAAUAGAUCAUUUCGUAUGCUAUAGAUGGUCAUCUGAGUUCAGCAGUAGCGUCAAGCACACCGUGUGCGAGGCAGAACGAGCAUUCGCCUUCGCAGUCGUGCGCAGUGGCGCGCGGCGCUCUGACGGUUUUGGGAGAGCAGAAGGCGAUGGACUGGGACGUGGAUUAGCUCACGAGCGCGUGCCCGUGAACGCGGCAUCCUUCAGUGAGCGACAGCCGCGACCUAGCACCGCGCAGUGACCCGAGCUCUCAUCUCCGUCUCUCCAUCCCAGCCACCUCCCCUGCUGCACUAACACACGUCUACCGCUGUAUUGCUCAUAACCUUUGCUACCCUUACCUUCCCCUCUCCUCUCUUUUCCUCCUCCUCCUCCUAAUUUCCUCUUUCUCCUCCUCACUUGGACCCUGUUACUUCUCUUCCUCAUCAAUCCUCUAUCUGAGUCCUCUAUAGUCCAAGUCUACUCCUGCACUGCGUCCUCCAUAUAUCAUCCUCAAACUUUCUCCCUAUCUCGCCACGCUCCAGCAUCGCAUCGCCCCCACUUCCCAUUCACUGCUCCCCCCUCCCCCGAUCGACCGCCAUCACUCCUCCACCCUGCGAGCCGAAGUAUAGAAGCACCAGUUCACAGUAGUCCACGGCGAGCAGCGCUCCGUCAGCGCGAACUUCCCUCGCUCCGCGCGCUCUCGCGCACCACCCGUCCACUCCCGCCCUCGCCGCCGCCGCCGCGCUCCGCCCCGUCCGGCUCCGCCGCCCGGCUCCUCCUUGCCCGCAGGCGAGGCGAAUGAGCUCGCAAGUCUUCUUGCGGGUCGGAUUCUUGAUGUCACGGCGGCGUAGGCCGAUCCGUUCGUCUCGUCCGUUUCGUGACUCAUCCGGAGUGGUGUCGUCAGUCCUCCGCUUGUCUUACCUGCUAGCAGAGCAGGGUCGAGUAGAGAGGAGGAGGGAGGGUUGCAAUGUCGUCACAGCUGUUUUCGUUUUCUUCGGAGGAGAGAGCGAGAUGGGUUUUGACUCCAAUUAUACGAAGGGUGUAGCAUGCGGUGCUAGAAGAGAAGAGAGAAGAAGAAAAGAAGGGAAAGGAAGAGAAGGCUCCCCUAUCUCUGUUCUCUGUCUCUUGUCUGCUGUCGCCGCUUUUUAUUCUCUCUCUUUCUCUCUCAUUGCCUGUGUUUUUUUCGUAUAUCAUAAAAAAAAAUUUCUUUUCUAUUUUGGUGUGCUUACUGCUGCUGCCGGGAUCUCUGAUUGCAAUGGGCUGUCGAGCAGGGAAUGACGAAAUAAUGAAGGGAAAGUGAAGAGGAUGAAUGGGCUUUGCAUUGCUGUCUGAUUGCUAUUCACCACGCCACAAUUUCUACUUUUUUUUUUUUUUUUCGCUUUCCACUUUUAAAUAUGUAGAUAAUCUAUAAAAUUUAUUUAUGAAAUUAUAAAUUAUGUUUGAUUAUUUUUUAUAUUUUAAUUUCCAUCCUAACUUUGAUAUGAACUUACUUUUAAUUUUAACAUUAACUAACUAUUUAACUAAUUUUAGUUGUAGUCAAACUAUAAAGUUUACUAACCAAUCAUAAUUCUUUAAAGAUAAACAUGCGUUUUAAUUUUAAAGUCAAAAAUAAUGCUGAUCAUUAAAAUUAAAAAUUGAAAAUUGAUGUAGAAGUUAAAAUUUUACAGAAUAAAUAGUUAAUUAAGUGGUCCAUAAUUUAAUAAUAAUAUAUGCUCUUAUCUUAAUUAAAUCACAACUGUAAAAUCGUAUCUUGUCUCUUAAAAAAUGUUUAAUCUAAAUUGCAAAAAAUGACUCGGAAUUUAAUUUUCAACAUUCUCUUACAUGUAAUGCUAACAUAACAGUAACUCAAAGCAUUAUAAAUGACAAAUGAAAAUUAAAUCAAACCUCCUAAAACAAAAGCAGAAAAAGAUCAAGUUCUCUGUCAUAACUUCCACACAAUUUCAUCUAAUACAUAAGAUGCCGAUCAACUUAAAUGGUAAACUUACAAUUCUUUGACUGAUUAUUAUUGAUAUUAUAUCAUUACGUACAAUACAAAUUUACAUAUAAGUCCAUAUUCUAAUUGCCGAAUUUGCAUUAAGUAAAUCUUAUAGUAUACAGUUUUUGUAAAAAUAGCAAUCGUUUAUUUUACAGAUUUGACAGAAUUUCAAGAAAAACCCUCAAUUCUCUUUCUCUCCUUCUUUUUCUCUCUCUUUUCUCUUCCCUCCGAAGAAGCGAUGGAGGCAGAAGAUGAGGUGGAAGCGGCCGCCUAUUGCUCCUUCCGGGCAGGCAGCCCACCUCAGACCUCUGUCCUCGCCCUCGCCCUCGCCUGCCUCGCCUGCGCACUGCUUCUCUUCCUCUACUUAGCCUCACACGCCAGAUCCCUGCAUUCGACCCUUUUUUUUUCUCUCCACCUCCUUCACCGCUCGACUUUCUACCUAACGGUUUUAAAAGUCUCCAACUUAUCCUCUUUCUCUCCUUUCUUUUUUCUUCUCAUUUCAUUUUCUCUUAUAUCCCCCCAUCGCCCUCCUGCCAAUCUCACACGUACUGAGCACACCACAUCCUUCUUUUCCUCGCCUUCACGCGCAACGCAGUGCGCAGGAACCAGAGAGGCUCGGAAUGCGAGUGAGAGUGAGCAAAGGAAAAAAUGCCAGAAAAUAAAAGAAAAUUAAAAGAAUAAGAAUUAACCAUACACCCACUUAUUUUUUACACAAAAAUUAAACAGUCUAGAAAAAAAACGACUGUGAGUGUGUGAUGUUUCAGAAAGAAUAUUUAUUUUUUAGAGAAAGUUUACAACUAUUUUUAAAAAAUAUUAUCUCGUUUGAUAAUGAAAAUUAACUUUGAAAGAAAGUAAACUCCUUUGCGAAAUUACACUUUUUGGUCAAAACUUACAACUAGUUGGCCAGAAAGAGAAGAACGAAAAUAGUAUAUUUUUACCAAUAGUACAAUUUUCAUUCAAAAAAGAAACUUUCAUCUAAAAAAGUAUAUUUUUUGUUCUCUAAUGAGUUUCAAUUUUCUUCUAAAACUUACAACGUUUUCAUAAAACAGCGGCCAUAUUUUCGCUUGUAAUAGAUUUUAUAAACAUUCCUUUGAAUAAAAUUCAUUUUUUUCUUCCAUCUUUCAUUUUUUAUAGAAAUAAGUAAUUCUUUAGAUAUAUUACUCUUUAUAUUUUUUAUUCUUUUAUUUUCUGCAUAUUUUCUUCUCCGGACUCCAGCUUCGACCCCCCUUGCUUCGAAUUCUCCUUCUCCGACCGGCAUGUUGUUCUCUCCACUAGACAGAGGAAGAGGAUGCGCUUAUCCUCAUUACGCCUCAGUUCUCUUCCAACCUACGUUCUUUAGAGAUACAAAAAUAAAAGAGACGAAAAAAGAAACACGAGAUAAAAAAAAGCAAUAUUAUUGGUCAGUUUUCUAAAAAUUCGACCCCGAAUCAUGAAAAAAAUCUAAAAAGACGGCUACUUGCAAUAUCAAACUAAAAAUUUAUGCAACAUGCGCUAUAAUUUAGCAGUUACAAAAUAUUGCGCUGUAUGGAAAUAAAUCAUUCUAUCAUUUGCCAUAUCUUAUUCACUAGUCAUCCUUUAUAAUAAAUAAGAAAUAAACUUUCCGUUCUUUCAAGAAAUCUCUCAUAUUUAAUAGCAAAAUAAACAUAUAGGAGUCGGAACGAUCGCACCACGGACCAGACUUACCACCAUCAGCUCAAAUUACGGCUUUAGAAUUACAAUCUUAACCCCUAAAUUUAAGAGUCUAUAUCUAUGCGUUUUGAAAUUAUUCCGACUGAUUCUCCGACGAGCCAUAAUUAUCGAGAUUCGAGCAGCUACGAGCCACUAUACACCGCGGUCCGAUUGAAAUUUUGAUCUCAGACUCAUCCUACUCGUUUAAUUCAUAUUAGAUAUUAUACAUUUGAUAAAAAAAUAAUCUAAUAGUUCAAAGUAUCAAAACGAUUAUAUGAAAAUACAUCGGCUAGUAUAUAUCAAGAAAAACAUAACUUAUAUACGUUCAAUAUCUCAAUCGUUCACUCUUAAUAUUUCUCUUCCGCUCACUUCAUAUUAUUCUUUCUUAAUUUAUCACGGCCCAAAAAUAAAAUAAAUUAUAUAGAGUAAAAGUAUGAUGAGCUAUCAAAUCUCUCUCUUUUAAAAAAUAGCAUAAAAUAUGUUAGCAGUAAUGAAAGGGAGAGUAAUGACUAAUGAGUGCUUAGCCACAAAGCAAUCACUUGUUGAGCUGUACUUAGCUCAUAAGCAAAAGCAGUGUUGUGAUAGAGGAUUAAUUUUAAGUAACAAUUAAUAGAACAGGUGGUUUGGAGGGAAAAGGUGAGGAGAGAAUCUGAUGUUUUGUUUGCAUGUGAAAGGUGGUGGAUUUGAUACAGAGUUGUGAGUACAUAUCCCACUACCAAAGCCAUAUUAUAAUAAGGAGAAUAUAUAUAUAUAUAUAUAUAUAUAUAUAUAUAUAUAUAUAUAUAUAUAGCUGUACUAAAAUAAUAUUAAUAGUAUAAUAUUAUUCACUCUGUAACCAUGAAAUACCUUACAUUGAGUGGAUGGUUGAUAUAAUAAUAAUAAUUUUAAAAAAUAACAAAGUGAAUAAUAUAUAAUAUUAAUGAUAUAAUAGCUAAACUCUCUUGCUCUCUCUACACACACACUAGUUGGCUUUUCCGCGUGCACGUCAUAUUGAGCCCAUAUAUUAAACUCGCAUGUCAGUCACAGUUACUCUACAUGUCAGAACAGCAACAUUCAACCAUAAAUCCAUAUAUUGCGCAGGAGCAUAAAACAAUUUUUUUUGAACAUUAUGAUUUUUGUCAUAAAAUUAUUAUAUAAUAUCAACUAUAAUAAUAAUAUAUAUUAUUUGGCAUGGUACAACGAGCCUUAGGUAUAAAUCUCCCAUGAUAUUGCUGUUAAUAUAUUCUUCCUUCUCUGGUUUUUUUCUUUAAUUUUUGAGAGAUAGAUAGUAAACUAUCAUAUUAUUUUAUUUAAUUUUAUUUAAAAAUAAAUUUAGUUGAAAAUAUAAAUUAAACUAGAAUUCAAACUUACAAUCUCGAAUACCAAGAUCAAAUUUUUUAUCAUCUACACCAAAGACACACCGUCCUUUUCCGGUGUUAGAGUCUGGAGCUUAUGCCCGUGCUGUAAUAUUCCAGUCCUUGUGUAACCCGACUGGAUCUGCUCACCCUAACUCCACCAAUCACUUUUGUUAAGCUCUCCACCUCCGCACCAAACCUCUCCAUGGCUUCCGGGGGCAAGCAAACGGGAACCGUGACCCCUAAUUCCUCCCCUCUCUCAUUCCUACGCAGCAAGUGAAACGUCCCCAGCGUCGUCGAGGCGGGGCCACCGUAGACGGGCCUUCCCCACCCGAUCACGUCGACGCGAUCCAACCCCGCCUUCGUCAAAUCCGUAACGAGGUAAGUCCGCUUCGUCGCGAACCUCGGCCGUCCCCGCAGCACCAUCAGGUCCGCCGUCGACCGCAGGUACCCCUCCGCAGCCAUCACUCCCUCCUUUGCUUUCCUCACCAGCUCCAGUGCGUAGUCAUACGGCUUCCUGCGCAGCUCCCCCGCCGUCGACGACGCCACGCCGAACAUCAACGCGUUCCCGUAGAAACCCCUCGGCAGCGGAGGGUCGCUGCCGCCUUUGCCGCGCGCGUUCACUACGAACUGGAGGCGGACGUCGUCCUGCGGUCGGUAUCGGAGAGCGGCCGUGCGGCACCGCCACACGAACGCCGCGAUGAGAUCGAAACGGGAGCAGCAGUUGCGGAGAUGCGGCGGGGCGGCGUUUUGUAAGGCGGCGAUCUCCUCGGGGCCGAAGAAGAAAGCGCGGUGCACCAGCGCGUCGCGGGGAGAUAUCACGUCGUCGCCGGGCAGGGGUUCGUACUCCGGGUGCGCGUACGUGAUGCGCGGCGGGGUUCGCGCGGUGAGCAGCGCCCUCUCCCACACCGGCAGCACGGCCGGGGCUUCGGCCCCGCGCGCCAGCUCGCCGAGGGCUGUCAUGAACUGCGAAACUCCAGGUGCGUCCGCGAUGUUGUGGCAUAUCUGCAGGCCAAAGACGAAGCCGCCGCACUUCAGCCGCGUCACCUGCAUCGUGAGUAUAAUAAUAUAUUAUUAAAUAUCAUUCUUCAUUGAUAACUUAAAUAUUUUUUUUUUCUUUUAGAGAGAAAAUAAUAAUAACAAUAAUAAAAAAGAAGAACAGCUGUUGUCGAUCGAUCGGGCAACCUGGAUGUAGAGCAACGGGCGGUCGACGACGUCGGCGGCGGAGGUGUCCGGAAAACAAAGAAGCUCGUCGGCGCAGGGGAUGGGCGGGAUCAAUGCGGGUCCGAAAUCGUCGAUAGAUACGUCGGCGUAGGCGUCCACGAGCACGGCGCCCUCGCCGUUGCAGUCAACAAGGAGCUUCCCGCCGGGGCCUCCUUGAUCACGCAGGCGGCCGGCGAUAGGGUAGUAGAAGACGAGGCACCUGGCGAGGGCCUCCUUUACGGCUCGGGCCGGGUCGUGGCCGGCCUUCGAGGGAUCGUGGCGGUAGAAGAAGAGGCCCGACCGGUAGAAGCGGAGGCUCGGUUGGUCGUCGAUGUCGGACAGGGCCUUCAGCUCGCGGGGCGUGGGCUUAGCCGGCGCGACGAGCACCGGAGCUUUCCGCUGCGCAGCAAAGACUAGGGAGGAGGAAGACAUGGUGUGUGUGUGUGUGUGUGUGUAAAUUAUCUAUCAGGUAGGGAGAGAUGGACCGACGAAGGGACUUGGCUUGUGCUAUACUGGGUUGGAUCCUGUUCCGUAUUUAUACGAGAGAUGGACGCACUAUUGGUCGUAAGCUUCUGAAAAAUUUGACUUUUUUAAUCGCCGUCGUAUGACCAGAUAUAAGGGUUCACCCAUUAAUAUUAUGAAUUUAUUCAAAAUACGUUCCCACACGGCAUACGACUUAGAAAUAAACAGUUAUUUUGUAUAAUAUUAUACUCUCCGCAGAUUCCAUGCACUCAAUAUUUUAGCUUUUUUUUUUUCCCUAAUAUUUCUUUUAAUUCGAGCUCAUGUUUUUUAUUUGUAGGACAAAAAAAAUCUUGAAUUCAGAUAUAAAAAAAGAUUAGAUAUGAAACAUUAAAAAUAUUAUUCUGUGAUGAUUUAAAUUAUGUAUGAAACAACCAAUUAACUUAGAAACAGCAACACCAGUCUUACAAUCCAAAUGAGUUGUAAUCUUAAUUACAGUCUCAUUAUUUAAGACUUAACUUCUCUUCGCUAAUUUCAUCGCCUUCUAUUUCUUUAAUAUUAAAAUUUUCUAAAAAAAAGAUUAUAAUUCUUAAAGUAAAAAAAGAAAGCAAUUAUACAAUUUUUUGUAAUGUUUUAUAUUUUAUUCAUUCAAUAUAUAAAUUUGUUUAUUUGUUAGACACGAUAUGUGUUACGACCGAGGAAAGAGAGGGAUAGGGUAGAUGGAGGAGAUAGAGCAGAGAGGGAAAGGAGGAGGAGAAGCAGAGACAAGGAGGGCGGCAGCGAUAAGAUCGAAGAGAGUGUACUUACCGGGUUACCAAGUAAUGGGUUUGGUUACUUCAACCGAUCCAUUAAGCAUCCGACUCCGGAAGGAUCAGUUGAUGGCGGUAAGGCUGUGGAGGGGCCCAAUCCAAUCUCAAUUAGAUCAGGCCCAUCGGAACCACUAAGUAUAAACACAAUUAAGCUGCAGUCCUUGUUACUGUACUCUUUUUACAUUUUAGUCCCCAUAUUGAGGGGUAUAAAUAGUAGCAACUACCUGUAACAAACUAUGAUAAGUUUUGAAUAAAAUUCCCCAUUCUCCCCAACUCUCUCUCUCUCUCUCUCUCUCUCUCUAGCUCGUCUUCCUCUUCUCUAUCUCUCCUUCUUCUUCCUCACUCCAAUUCUAUCUCAUCCCAAGCACAGAUCCAUUCUCCAUCGAAGCUCUCGAUCUCGCACAGCUGAUACCCGAUCAGUAUUCGAUUGAAUACUGUUUAUCAUCAUCUCCAAUCCACGAUCCUCGGUUUCAUCCUCAUCAGAUCGAGGCAUCGGAUCAGGUAAGCCGAUUCUUCACCCCAUUGCGCCAUCCAUCAAUCCAUGAUUGGGUUGCGCGGUGGUCGGAAUCAUAACAAGUUGGUAUCAGAGCUGUUGAGAUCCCAGGGAUCGGUACAGCGCAGUCGCAAGGGCUCCGGUUUUGCAAAACUGUUGAAUCCAACGUCGACACAGCUUCCCGAGUUGCUAGGAUCGCCUCUGGGUGAACCUGGACAAAGGGAGCCGCUGUAAGAACCGACCCCGGUUCUUGAACUCACAGAAUUGGCUGGGAAAUAACACGCCCACCAUCUGUUCGAGUUCCCACCUGGUGCCUGCAACACUCUUGCAGGUGGAUCCAGCUAACGAUUGAGCGACAAUUGGGUCGGCGAGAGGUAACCGAUUCAAAUUCGUGAGCAAGGCGAUGGCCGAGGGAACACGUUUGAAGCUGCUCGAUGAACAUGUUCACGUGCUAGAGAAGCAACUACAAGAGUUAGCAGUGGGUAAUGAGAGGAAGUUUGAAUCACUGGCAAGUCGGAUGGAGGCGAUACGUACCGAGGAACAGUCCCAUUAUGACGAAUGGAAGAGAGAUUCUGCGAACACCUCCAAGAAGCUGGAACAAAUUAUGGAUCUGCUGAAGAACAUACCACAAGCAUCAUCAACCAAGGGAGUUACUUCUUCAACCAGUCCAGAGGAACGAGGUAUAUUACCAAACCCAUCUCAUUCUCAUACAAAGGAAGAUCAUCAUAUACAAUCUACUAUAAAUCGAUCCGGUUCUCAAUUUCCAUAUCCCAAAUUAGCUUUUCCUAUGUUCAUGAAUGACAACCCAAGGAGUUGGGUGAGAAAAUGUGAGAGGUACUUUGAAUUCUAUGGUAUUAAGGAGCAUCAGAAGAUGGAAUUAAUCGCUAUGCAUUUGGAUGAUAAGGCUGAUACUUGGUUUCAAGGAUACCUGGCAGAGAAAGGAAUGGUCAAUUGGGUAGAUUUCUCUGAAGAGGUUUGUAAACGAUUUGAUACUAAGGGAUUAGUGGAUAAUGUGGAGGAAUUUAACAAAUUGGUACAAACCGGGACAGUAGAAGAGUACCAAGAGCAGUUUGAGGAAUUACGAGCGCGGAUCCUUACCACUGAUUCACAAUUCUCCGGAAGUUAUUUCUUAUCCAGCUUCUUAAGUGGGCUAAAGGAGGAGAUUAAGUCGGCCGUCAAGAUGCUCUAUCCCCGCACAUUAGCGCAAGCUUUUGAACAAGCUAAAUUGCAGGAACAAACCAUUGCUGCUAUGAUNGUUUUAUUAUUUAUAUAUUAAUAUUUAAUUAUUUUAUUUUAUAUUAAGUAUUAUAUAUAUAUAUAUAUAUAUAAUUAUUUUUUCAUGCAUUAUAUAUUUUUUUAAUUUGUAUUGAAAUUUAUACUAUUAUUAAUUAAAAUUAUAUUGAUAUCGUUACAUAUAUUAUGAAUAAAUUAUAUAAAAUAAAUUAUUAUUAUAUAUAGUAAAAUAAAUAUACUAUUGUAAAUUAAAUUGUUAUAUAAAAUAUUAUUAUAUUAUAAAUUACUCUAAGAAAUAAUUUUAUAAAUAAGUUUAUAUAAAAUAUACUAAUAUAAAUUAAUUUUUUUAUUUUUAAAAUACAUUUAGAUAUUAUUUUAUACUUUUUAUUCAAACGUUAUUAAAGAUAUUCUAUCUUCGAAUUCAUAUUUAUUUAUUUAUUUUUAAAGAAUGACGUAAUUUUCCGAAGGUGCAUCAUUUCUUAAUUACUUAAUUAUUUUCUUUUACCAAAGUUGGUUGGUGGUGCCACGGCGACUUGGUAGGUGUGGAAUUAUUAAUAAUAAAAUUCCAGGACAACGACCGUGUCUUUUAUACUGGCUAUAUAUAUUUUUUAUUUUUUUAUUUUAUCUUCCGCAGCUGUAGUUUGACUUUGAGUGUGGUGGAAUGUGAUCCAGAUCGUGGGCCCGCCAAAUCUUGCCACGUUAAUAACUUGCUAAAAUCGCGUCUCUUUUAAAAACUAUAAUAAUAUCCUACUUACGUGGCCUACGCAAUGAACUAAUUAAAGUUUUCUAUCAUUAUUAACUAGUAAAUUAAGAUAACCGCACAUUACGAAAGAUGGAUUCUAUAAAAAUAAAUAAAAGAAACAAUAAAAGUAAGCCAAAGAAUAAAAAAAUAUAAAUUAAAAAAAUAAAGAAGAAGCAGCAGUAGCUACAGUAAAAACAUAAAAAAUAAAAAUAUAAAUAAAAUAAAAAAUAAAUAAGAAAAAAUUAUAAAAUUAAUAAUUUAUAUUUAUAAUAGCAAUAAAAGUUAAGAAUUAAAAUAUCAUAUACCUCAUAGCUCGAACCACAAAUUGUAAUUAAUUAAAAUAUAAGCUCUAAAGCGUUACGUUUCUCGUAUUCUAAAAUGUCACACGUCUUAUAGUUUGAUAACCAAAAGUGCAAUUUACUUUUUUUAUAUUUUGAUUUUAUUUCAGAAGAAGACAGAGCUAAGCAUCGAUCAGUUUUAUUCGAUCAAUAAUUUUAUUCGAGAAAAGAAUAUGUUACACAAUCUAAUAAAAUUUAAAAUGCCUAAUUGUUAAAGUUAAAAAUCGACCGAUCAUAUUUUUAAUAUUUUAAAAUAUUUUAAAUAUGAAAUUAAUUGUUCAUCAGACUAUAAAUAUAGCAUUGAAAUUUGAUAUUAAAAUCAAAGUAAAAAUGUAUAGUAUUUUUCUAAAAUACAAACAAAUAUUUUAAAUCAACUAUCGAACUUUUCAAAAUUUUAUUUUUACUAUCUAAUCUUUUUAUACAUUAGAUUUGAGUUAGUCAGUGAUACCUUGACUUUAAAAUUUGAAUGUAUUUUUUAACUUUACAGUUGCAACUAUAUUUAUUAAAAUAACUAAUUAAAUUAAACUUUAUCAAUUUUUUUAUUUUUUAUUUACAAUCUAUAUCUAAUUAAAAAUAUUAUAAAAUUAAAAUUUAUAUUUAAUAUAUACAGUCUAAACUAUUUAAAAGUCAUAUAUAAAUAAUUAUAUAUUAUAAUAAAUUUUUAUAAUGAAAGAGUGAAAAUUAGAUUAGAUUAAAAGAAGACACUACAACAGAAUUAGGUUAUAGUGGUACAUAUUUGGAACAUUUUUGUGUGUUCUAUUUAUGUCAAAAUUUUAAAAAAAAUCGACUAAUGACUAAAUAUAAAGCCCAAUCCAACAAAAAAAAAAAGUUAUUCUACUCAACUCACCCCACCCAGCCCAUUCGGCCCGAUUACAAACAGAAAAAAAAAAAAAAUCGAUUACCAUUUCCCCUUCUCCCUUACUCAAUCUACUGAAAUCCUAGACGAAUAUUCCUUCCUCUCGUCCUCCUCCGCCACCGCAGCAAACGAGAUAGAGUUUCGGCGAUUGCUAAAUGCUUAAAUAAGCGUUGAUAAAUUAACAGCACUCUUUUUAGAUUAUAGCGACACUGUUUAACUGUCACUAUAUACCUUGCGACUCCACUUAUAGUAACACUUUUUAAAAGUGUCGGUAACUUAGCUAGUAGUACUUUUUUUGACAUAUACCAAUAUUUAAAAAUAUCGCUAUAAACCGUUUUUAUUGUAAUGAGAGUUUGAUUCCUCAGUCUAGACUCUAAAUCAGUGAAGGGAGUGAAAAAUUAAAAUAAAAAAAAAUAAAAUAAUGGACUCUUCCCUACCCGCGUCACCGACAAGUGGGCCCCAAACCCACCCCUAGGGCCCAACCCCAACUCCAACCCCAACCCUCCCUUCCUUUCGCACCCCGCAGUGUGGAUCCCAACUCCGGAUUCAUUACGUGUGAUGUAAUAGAAGAUAGAUGAUGAGACUACAAAGUCUUCGCCACUCAUGCAAUCAAUUACCAGUGCAGACAUACGUCGACUAUAGGUCAUCUUGAAAUAGCCUUCAGGAGAACAAUUCUUUAGAUUAAAAUGCAAAAAAAUUUCUCAUAAAUACUCUUUUUUAAAAUAAAUUUUAGAAAUAUUUUUAAAUGGUACGACAUUAAUCGAGAAGGCAAAAUGAUUAAAAUGACCUUACUUCUUUUAUAAAACAAUCGUUUUUAAUAUAUUUCUGUCUUUUUAAAGAAUAUUUUUAGUAUAAAUUAUAAAAAAUGGACGGAAUAGUGACGGAACCUUGACAGAGAGGAGCUAAAUGCAACAGCUUGAAAUAUUGAGGAGGUAAAAUAUAUAUUUUCGAAAUUUAGAAAAAAAAACGUUAAAAAGUUAAUAUUUAUAACAAAGUUUUCUGUAAUUAACCUUUUUUUAAUUAAGGGAACUAAAUUUCUAAUUUUUUUUGAGAAUUAAAUAACUUUAGCCACAUAAAUCAUUGAUAAAUCAUCGGAUUUAAUAGUUGAAGCUAUUUUGCAGCAAAUGCUAAUAACUGAUUAAACUAUAAAAUUUAACAAUUUUUUAUCAUAAUUAAUUAUAAAAAUUAAAUAAAAAGUUAAAUAUAAAAAAUAUUAAUACAAAAUAAAAUUGAUGAGUUUAUUUCAGAAUGACAUUUUGUUGAGGCGGUCUUCGUAUAUUUCGACCUUAUUUAUCUGAGAAUUUAUAUUAGGCUGUAAAAUUGUUAGUUUGCCCUCCAUUGAGGGACUGGUAGAAGUAUAGGAAAAAGUCUAAAUUGUAAUAAGUAGUACCAUAUAGAAUAUAAUCCCAAAUCAACCAUAAAGUGCUAUGCAUAGAAGAGAGAAGUCUAAUUAGAAAUAAAAUAGCAAUUUUAUAUUUAUAUAAGGUUUUAUAUUUUAUGUAAUGUAAAAAGUUUUAGAUAAAUGUUGUAAAUUUUACAUAGAAUAAUUGUAGUCGAAAAGACUUGCUUGUAAUACAGGAAGACGGACAAAUAUAUAUUGAGUAUGGCUACUAUACUUUUACGAGUAUAGAGUCAUUCAUACUUAUAAGUCGUUUUCGAUAAUAAUGUGACGCCCCAACUUCCUAGGGUGUCACCCAUCCUAGAACUACUUUCAUCCUAGCACAUUUAACACUUUUAACCUCUUGGGUUUAACACGUCUCUUAACCUCUUAGGUCUGGCCAUCACCGAAAAUGUUUAAGCCGGUUUAAGAGUUUUAGUCUUAUUAUAUUUUAUAUAUAGGACUAUCUAUGGUCUCACAUUCUCCUCUUUUUAAGUCUUGACGUUCUCGUCAGACUCAAACUCACAAAUAUCAGGCGAUGUGAGAUUCGUCUUGCUAGACUUGUCAUUCCGACAGACCCUGACUUAGCUGAGACUCAUCUCAUACUUUCGGCUAAUAAUCGGCUCUGAUACCAACUAUGACGUCCUAAUUUUUCAAGGGAUCAUCCAUCCAAGGACUAUUCCCGUCCUAGUACACUUAAGGGGGCGUUUGGAUUGACGUAUUUGUAGAUUCAACGUAAGUCAAGUGUAGUGGUGUUUGAGUUUCCCUGAAGUGUGAUUAUUUUUUUGUUGUUUGUUUUGACGUAACUCGUACCGCCUGAAAGUUAAAUUCAAUCACUUAUGUUGUUUGUUUUGAUGUAACUUGGUGUUGGUAAAAUUAGUUUUUUGAAUUUCGUUGUUUGUUUUGAUGUAAGUAAGUGGAUCUCAUUAUCUCCUAAAUAUAGUAGUAAAUUUAUCACUAUAAAAUUUAAUCUAUUAUAUAAUUAAUUUUUUUAUUAUUAUUUAAAGAUAAUUCUAAUUUAUUAUAAAUAAGGUAAUUCUAACCCAUUAUAAAGAAAGUAAAGUUUAGGUUUUACUGUUUAAUAAAUUUUUUAGAGGAGGUUGAGUGUAGUGAAAGUCAAGUUCGACACUUGAGAGGAGGAAGUCGAGAGUAGAUGAAGUAGAGCUCUAACGUAACUUGAGUUACAUUAUAUUUUUUUACUUACAUCAAAACAAAUAACGGAAGUGAUGGAACUUGAGUUCCAUUAUUCCACUUACACCAAAACAAACGGGCCCUAAUUCUUUUAACCUCUUGGGCCUAACCACCACCUUAAUAAUUUAAAUUGGGUUACAAGUUUUAGCCCUAUUAUAUUUUAUAUAUAAGACUAAUGGGUCUCACAAAUAAAACUUUCGAAUUGACGAUUCAUACCGUUAAAUAUGAUUUAGAAUAUUUGAAACUUUUAGAAACUAAAUUUCAUAAAAUUUUGAAAUUAUAAUAAAGUCUAUUAAACGGACAUAAAAUUAACGGUCAAAAUCAAAUGACCUCCUAAAAUUAGAGGAUCAGAUUCUUUAAUUUAAAUCAGAGUUAUUAAUUUUUAUCUAGAUAGUGAAUAAAAUUUUCUAUCAAAAAUUCAACUAAUUUUAAUUGUUUACACUGUUAAACCAGCAAUUAUUUUUUAUCGACUGUUAAAACUUAUCAACUUUGAGAUUUUUUGAUCUAAGAUAAAUGAUUUCGAAAAUUAUGAAAUUGGAUGUUUAAAAAUUUCAAAUGCCCUAUAUAAUAUUUAAUGGUAUUGAUUGUUGGUUCGGAAGCUUUAUCAACAAAAACGACUUAUGAGUAUGAGUGCGAUAGUACUUAUAAAAACAUAAUAACUGAACUCUUUCUCUCUAUAUAUAUAAUAACUUUUUUUUGUUUUUGUUUUCAGGUACUGUGCAUUUUGUGAAUGCCAGCAAUAGUUAAAUAUAACUAACUCUACCUCAAGUGGUAAAAAUUUGAAAUUUAGUUAUUUUAUAUUUUCAAUUUAAUUUAUUUUUUAAAAAAAUAAUAAUAACAUGUCAUCUUUCUCUUUGGGGAAAAAAAAAAGAAGCAAAUAUCUCUUGAGAUUCAUCCCCCACCGUUUUGAGUUUGUAAAAUAUAAUUUCUAAUUUCUGCUCCAAUAAUCAAUGGACUCUUCUACGCCUAACAGUGUAUGAAACAGUAUUAAUUAUCACUGACCGGCAACUUAUAAGCUAAUUGAUUAAUAUAUUUAACUCUUAUUAAAAAUUAAAAUACGCUCGAAAUGAGAAUCCAUGAGUAUAAUGUGGUGGCUACAAACUUCGUAAGGAUAAAAAAUAAAAAAUCAUUGCAUCGUCCAAUGAGACAUCACGCGGUACUCACCUGGACACUAGUUCCUGCCAUGCUUUGAGAUUCGGGACAAAAGAAAGAUUGGCGUGUCGCGCGUGUGGUUUUCACCAGUGUAUCGCCGUGGCACAAGUUUCCGCACCAAGAGAACACGUACGCCAACAGACCCACGUGAUCCGAAUCAAACAUCACGGGUUCAAAUUAAGAUUGGACUCUUAUUAUACUCUAAUGACUAUAUAUGGCAUCUACCAUGUUAGGUAUUACUUAUUAAAUAUAAAGUGUAAUGCAUUAUGCAUGUGGUGCACACUUGCAAACUAUUUUACGAUUAAGAGAUUUAUACAAGUUCUUUUAUAUAUAUAUAUAUAUCAAUAUCAUUUAAAUAUGCACAUCAAAAGAAUACAAAAAAUAAAAUAAUUCUGCUUGCAUUUAUUUAUUGUUUUUAAAAAUAAAGCAUGCAACAUGCAACAUGCAUCUUUGUUCUUUUUAAAUCCAAGGAGCAUUAUUAAAUGGUAGCCCCUUCCGUAACGAGACAGAACAAUUUAUAAAUCUAACGAAUUGUCAAAAAUAAGAACCACGAGGGGCAGAACAUGUGCAAGGUCAAAAAUGGCGAAGCAUAUGUGGGGGGUAUAUAUGCGUCCGUGCGUACGUACAUGAGUUACACAUGUCGUAGGAAAAACACUUACAGGGGCAAAAAAAUAAAAAACAGUACUACAACUACAACAAUCCUUAGCAGAGAGGAUAUGUACUAUGGCCUAUGGGGCCGGGUAGCAUUCGGCUAUAUAUAGGGUGGCAUGGAGUUGCUAAGAUGCAUGCAAGCAUAUAUAUACAGCGGAAGUUCAUUUUUAAGAACACAGCAUUAGAAAGCUAGCUAGCUAGCUAUAGUACGUGUACUUUUGCUCUUCAAGUUCUUAACCAACUGCGACGAUGAAGGUGGAGGAAGUGCUCUGCAUGGUUGGAGGAACCGGAAGCAACAGCUACUAUGCUACUGUCUCCAACCUCCAAGUCUCUCUCUCUCUCUCUCCACAUUUUUCCUUUUAUAUAUACAUAUAAUAUUAGUUAAGACAAAUUAAAAAAAUACUUUAAAUUAUUAUUGAUAAGUCUGCAUUAACAUUUGAUUGUCAGCAUAUAUAUUAUUUACCGACCGUCCCUAAAGCAAGUGGCAAAGGAUUUGGUGAUUGGUAUCCGAGAUCACCUAAAUUCGAAUCUUAGUUGAUUCACAUUUCUUGCUAAGUUUAUUUCUAAAUGAAAUAAACGAAGN